CAUUUUAAGCUUUUUAAUUUAUCAUGUCGGAAACAAUAUUCUGCAUAAUCCAGAUAUAUGUAUGUGUAAAGUAAAGUGUGCAGAGUGUGUACCUGAAUCGUGGAGUGGUGUAGUCGGAGUGUAUUUGGCAUGUUGUGGGAUCUCCCCCAUACUUGUUUUCUGCUUUCUUGCACAAAAAUAAAGUAGAGACACACAAGACAUAAUAAUAAUAAUAAUACUCUUUAUUAAUCUUGAGGCAUUUAUUACAAAAGACUAGUAGUAAACUGAUAGCAAACUGAUGAUAAUAGUAAACCUAAACCAAAUUUAAAGAUAGAUAACUAAGAUGCAUUUGCCUCAAGGUCUAAUCUAGAUAACUUAGCGGCGCUCUAAUUCCUUAAUCUUCUUAUUGGCACUGGCAAGAUCCUGCCUAAGGCCUAGUAUAACAGUGUUGUGGUUAGAGAGCUGCCUAGUGAAGGAAUUAAUCGAGGACUGAAGGUCUAUGAUAACUCUGUCUAGUCUGCGAAUGUCCUCAUCAAUAUCCAUUAUAGUUUUACGACGCUUGGGAGGUGUCUCAAAAGCAUUGAGAGCGUGCUUUGGGGCUGCCUUUGGCGGGAUGAAACAGACUUUGGCUGCUCUAAUCCCUUCGAAGUAAGGCCUCUCCUCCUCCGUAGUGUAGCGAAUACUUCUGAUCUCACCGCUCCGGAUGGUCUUGACUCCAACGACCUUCUCAUUGGGUCUAGGUGGAAGGAUCCUUGUGCCGGUUGGCACCUUGAUGGUGGUCUUCGUCUUGGAUGAUGAUUCCUUGAGGAGUAGGGGUUGUGGCGGUGCGGUGAGAACUGGUUGAGCAUGAUAAGAUUGGGUGGAGCUGCGUUGGCGUAAUGGCAUGGCUUCUAGCUGUCGCUCUGUGUUGGCCGGGACGAGAGCACGGGCAUCGGGGUCUUCCACAGGCUCCAUGUUGAGGUUGAAGGGGACGACUUCCCAAUCAUCGUGGAACUUCUCGGCCAUUGGAGCAGCAAGGAACUAAUCAAGCUCUAAUUGAAGAAGAAGAGAAGGCUUGAUAGGUUGGUGUUUGAAAACUGAUGUCAGGGGUCUGUUUAUAUAGGGGUCAAAAACUGCCUCUAUGGGUUGUUCAGGUUGCUCCCGUCGAUGUGCGUGCGAAACUUUCCAUCUAAGGGGUUAUUCGGAUUAUCAUAAGUGCAUUUUCCAUAACAGAGAAAAUCGGGACCGAGGGGGAACAGGAGCUGGGCGCCCGCCCACCUGAUCUGGGCGCCCGCCCUCUCUCUGGCCCCUCUGUGGGCCCACUUUCUCGAGCGUGUUUCUAGAUGUAAAACUAUUUACAAAAAUAUAUAUAUGACCCAAAAACAUCAGACUAAAAAGGUCGGGCUCUAAUUCUCCAUGGGAAGGUAAAGAUGGACUACGUAUAUUUCUUCUAAUUCUUUAUUGGGUUCUAAAAAUAAUUUAAGACGUUGGCCAUUUACCUUGAAUAACGUACCUUCGUCAUUCUAUAGUGUGAUAGCUCCGUGGGAUGAUGAAUUAAUUACCUUGAAUGGUCCUUCCCAUUUGCUCCGGAGUUUUCCAUGCCCGAAAAGCUUCACCCUGGAAUUAAAAAGUAAUACCUUGUCUCCGGGUGUGAACUCCUUCUUGAUUCUCUUGUCAUGCCACCUUUUGACUCUUUCCUUGUAGAUCUUCGAAUUAUGAUAUGCUUUCUCUCGCCAUUCUUCCAAUUCUGAUAAUUGCAUUCUUCUAUAGUCUUCAGCAACAUCUAGGUCCAUAUUCCAUCUCUUUAUGGCCCAGUGUGCUUUGAAUUCUAGUUCAACAGGUAGAUGGCGAGUCUUCCCGUACACCAAUUGGUAUGGAGACAUUCCAAUUGGGGUCUUGUAUGUUGUCCGGUAUGCCCAGAGUGCAUCGGGUAACUUGUCUUUCCAUGCCGUUCCCAUUUCAUUUACUGUCUUCUGAAGAAUAUUCUUGAUUUGCUUGUUGGAAGUCUCUGCUUGGCCACUUGUCUGAGGAUGAUAGGGAGUAGCGACGUUGUGAUGGAUUCCAUGUUUUGAUAGAUAUUGCUUGAAGCGUUUGGCGAUGAAGUGUGCUCCUCCAUCACUUAUCACUACUCUGGGGACUCCAAAUCUUGGAAAUAUAAUUUCUUCAAACAUCCUCUUUGAACUGAUAUUGUCGGCAUGCUUGCAAGGUAAUGCCUCUACCCAUUUGGAGACAUAGUCAACUGCCACCAAGAUGUACUCGCACUUCUUUGAUGGAGGAAAUGGUCCCAUGUAGUCUCUUCCCCAUACAUCAAAGAGCUCAAUCUGAAGGUUGUUGGUGAGUGGCAUUGCAUCCCUUGUAUUUAUGUUUCCGUGUCUUUGACAUGGCCCACAUCUUCUGAUAUAUUGCUUCAUAUCUUCAUACAUUGUAGGCCAGUAGAAUCUACACUGCCAGAUCUUUGAGUGUGUACGGAAUGCUCCAUAGUGACCUCCAUAUGGUGAUGAAUGGCAUCUGUCGAUGAUCUUCUAUCCUUCCUCAGUGGUCACACACCUCCUGAGUAAGCCAUCGGAGCAUACUAGGAAGAGGUAUGUCUCAUCCCAUAUAUGUGAACGACUUUCUUGAAUAAGCUUCUUCUUGUUUGCUCCUGGUGGUACAUACCAUGAAACCAUAAAAUUAACAAUAUCUGCAUACCAGGGGUCAGACCUGUUAAUCCCGUAGAGCAUGUCGUCCCAGAGUGAAUCAUUGAUGGGGGGUUUCCUGUGGACUCUUAAAUUACAUUAUAGACAAGUGAUCAGCUAUAGAAUUUUCUACUCCCUUUUUAUCUUUUAUUUCUAAGUCAAAUUCUUGGAGUAAUAAGAUCCAUCUAAUCAAGCGAGGUUUAGCAUCUUUCUUAAUGAGCAAAUAUUUUAGUGCCGCAUGAUCAGUGUAAACAAUUAUUUUAGCUCCAACUAAAUAAGAUCUAAAUUUAUCAAUGGCAAAGACAACAGCCAGAAGCUCUUUUUCAGUGGUUGCAUAGUUAAGUUGAGCUCCUGUCAAAGUGUUACUGGCAUAAGCAAUUGCAUGAUGCUUCUUAUUUUUAGUUUGUCCCAAUACUGCCCCCACAGCAUAAUCACUGGCAUCACACAUAAUUUCAAAGGGUAAUUGUUGACGGUCCUUAAGUAUCAAAUUUAAUUAACAAAUAAAUAAAGAAAAGGAUCCAAAUGAAAUCAACAUCUAGACUUAGGGUUUUAUCUGACAGAAUUCCACGAGUUUUGGUGUUUGUCUAUUGCUGCAGGGGGUUAUCAGGAAAUACGGAAGAAAGGCCCACAUGUCGGGAUUACGUAAAGAUAUUAACGUGCCGCGCAAUUAUCUUACAUCUAGAAGACUCCAGAAGCCACGAGACCGAAUCGGAGGCGAAACGGGGCCAGACCCUGGGCGCCCGCCCAGUUGGUCAGGGCGCCCGCCCUGCCUCUGAGUCCAAUCAGGACUCUGCUUCGUGGGAGAUCUCCACCGACCUAAAGGAUGAAUCUAAACCAUACAAUCUAUGUCGGUUUGAUCCAAUGGCCCAUAUUCACUUGAAGGGACUAUAAAACCAGACCCCCUGGCCCCUGGAGGAGGGAGCCUCUCAACCCUAAUUCAUUGUUCUUCAAGGGAGAAGAAGCCCCUGAUCAAGAUUAGAGCCACCACAUCAAUUAGAUAUCUAGAUUAGCAUAGCUACAUAGGAUUAGAACUAGAAGGAGUCAAUCUUCGAUUAGUUUCCGGAUCUGUCAAGAGGAUUCUUGGUAAUUCUCUAAUUGUGCUUCUAAUUGCUUUCUAAUUAUCUUUCUUCUUCAAUAUUAUGAAUAUGACUUUGUUCUACUUCAAUAUAUUGCUUAUGACUUUGCUCUACUUGCUUAUAUUCAAGAUUAUAUUGUUCUUAGUUUAUCAUAGUUAUGUACUUGGCUUAGUUAGAUUGGAUCUAUAUACAUGAUUAGGAUCGUAUAGCGUUUAUCCAUCGGAUCCAUGGGUAAAUGAUAGAUAUUGUGUAGGCGUGGUGCUUAUACCAUAUUUAUCUGCGAUUGUACCCAAUAUGCCAGAUCGUGGGGUAGUUCGUGAUAGUGACAGCUUCAUUGAUUCUUAUAUAGUCCCCCUCUCGUGUAUUGGGCUGGCAGAGCAACAUUAUUACAGGGGAGUGAUUGCUAUGUUUCUCAUAUUCCUUGCUAAUAUCACUAUGCAUGGGCGUAGUCUUGUCUCGCAAUGAUUGCUAAGUAUGCUUGCACUAACUAUGAUAAUGCUAGACUAUAUAGUUGAGAAUAACUUAGGGAAUAUUCUUGUAGUUCGUUCUAAUACCAUGCUAAUGACUUUCUAGAGUAUCUAAUUGAGGUGCUUAUCAUAUUUAUUAUGUGGCUAGAUCAGAUUAGUUAUCCUUGUCACUAUUAUUAUUUCAUAUAUCUUUUAUGUGACACUUAUCCCUGUAUGAUGUGUCGACCGGUGCACAGUGUAUGUAUCACUGGCACCGGGGAUGGAAAAUCCUGCGGGAGAGGACCCGCCAGAGGAGGACGCUGCUCGGUGUACUCAUUACACCAGCAGUGAAGAGGACCAAGCCCGCCCCAUCCCGACCUCCGAGGAGAGGGUAGCGGGGAAGAGGCCAUUGCCAGCAGAUCCUUUGCCGGCGGAUGUUCCGGCGGAGAGCAGCCAAGCACCGAAGCGUCGUCGGCUCGUGCGGAUCGUUGACGACGACGACGACGACGAGGAGGCUGCGCCGUCGUUGGUCCGACGGCCCCGGGGUCGCCCAGAUAAUGCGCCGGCCGCUACUGAUCGAGUGGCCGGCGAUGCCCCUGCACCGCAAGUUGUCGAGACGGGGGCGCAGGUGCCGGCCGGCCGGGUGAGGAGGAGGUUCACCGCCACCCACCGUCGAUCAGACCUGUAAGUGUUCGACUUACGUAUUUUUGGACUCCUCUUUGAUUUUUUUUUUUGAAAUUUGACUUUUGUUCCUGUAGUGCGGCGUCGGAUGUCGACCCUGGCCAGGUUGCCAGCCAAGGGAUGGGCGAGCCUGCCCGCGGUUCUGGGGAUGCGGCCCCCCAGACCACAGAGCAGCCAACAGUUGCAGUCGCGCCUGGGAGCACCGAGGGGCUCCCGAGCGCAGCACCGACUACGACAAGAAGCCCGACCAGGGCUGGAGAGGCUCCCCCAACUGACUCCUCAGAGAAGGGAAGAUCUCCGACCGCUCCUCCUGCCGGGGGGAGUGAAGUCCCCACGCCGCCCCGAGCAGGAGCCUCCUCUGCUGCGGGCUCCCCAGGUCUGGUCCAAGGGCCAGUAAUACCUGGGACCACCACCGGGGGUGACGCAGCACAGGAGGAGGAAACCCGGGCGGCCUCCGAUGAUGAGGUGGAAGAGAUCGAGGGUCGUCCCCGUGAUGGCCGCCAACACGUGUAUGUGUGGCGCCAACGCGGGGAUCACUUCAUCGGGCAUGAGGAGCUCGCCGAGACCGAAGAGGCUGCCAGGGUGGAGCGCGCGGCCAAGCGCCUCGUCGACGAAGUCAAGGUAAGCGGCUUUUUGCACUGCUGCACAUUCUUUUGCCUUGUCUUGCAUGGUCGUUAUAUGCUUGCUUUGUAGGACGCAAUGAAAACGGCAAAGUACCGGAAACGGUGCUUUGACCAGAUAGAAGGCGUCAUGGCCGAGAACAAGGCCCUUGCCGCGGAGGUAGACCGGUUGCGGGCGGAGGUCGGGGAGAAGGUGGUCGAGAUGAGUGCCGAAAAGGAGCGUCGUCUCGACCUCGCUCGUCGUUUGGCCGACCAGUACCGGCUGCAAGAAGGUUAGUCACACGCUCCGAGCAGCUUCGCGUACUUGUAUAGUUUGCUUUGCUGACCAGUUUAGGAUUCACGCAGACUUGGAGGAGGAGGUGGCGAGCCUCCAACAAGAGAAGGAGCAGCUCAGCCAACAGCUCGCCGGUGCGCUGGAGUCCGGGCGGCGAGCAGAAGAGGAAUUGGGUCGAAAAGACCGGGAGCUAUCUGGUAAUGGGUGCCGCCUUGUUGGUUGCUGCCUGCCCCUUUGUUUGUUUGGUAUGCCGAAAAUAACGCUUCGUUUUGUUUGCAGUGCUCAAGGUUAACGCCAAAAGGCACCUGGAUGAUCUGAUCAAGGACCGGGACUCCUGGAAGGCCAACUGUUGCAGGAUCUGGAAAGGAGUGUCCCCGGUCCUAGACCUGAUCAGUCCCGAGCUCCCGGAGAGCCAGCCCCGCGCGCCGCAGUUGACCCCGGUCGAGAAGGCGCAACGGGCGUGGGACUGGCUCCAGCAGUUUGUGAAGGACGCCGGGGAGUUUGCCGGGGCGCACGUCCUCAGCAUGGUGCGCGCCCACUACCCCCUGGUCGACUUGAGCAGGCUGGAGGAGGGGUACCCAAAGGAAGUCGGCCCACAGGAAGCGGACGAACUUCGGGGUAGUCUGCUGGACUUGUCGUCGACAGUGAUCGGCGACAUCAAUCUGUGCGGAACGGCCACUCCUCCAGACCAGCCGAGCUCAGAUAGGUCGGCCAGGGAGUUGUCGGGCGCGUCCGUUGCUGGAGAUGGGCGGUCGACGCCUGCGGUCUCGACCAGCCAGGCGCCGGUGGCCCCGACCCCUUCGUCCGGGCAGCAGGGCCAGGCGGGUGAUCAGCCCGAGGAGCUAGGCCAAUAAAGUAGUCUAUAGGAAUAGACUAGUAUCUGCCCGUCAGGGUAUUUACUGUAAACUUUGUAUGUAAAGUUUGUAAUAAAGUUUUCUUUUUGUCAUGACUGUUGUUUUGAGCGCUGUAAAAAUAUCUGAGUGACGUGUCACCGUAUUUGUCUUGGUUGUCGCCAAGAGCAUCCAUUGCAGGAGUUUUGCCGAGUGCUGUGUAUGACAAGGUAUAGGCGAAAAAUAGAGAAUUUCAUUAUCAAAAACUAUAAGAUACUUACAAAAGAAAGUCAUUAAAACUUUAUGGAUAGAAACGUCGCAGUUUGUCGAUGUGCCAAGAGUUAGGCACUCAUGUUCCGUCUGGGUAUGCCAAUCUGUAGGACGUAGGUCGUGUGACCUCGGUCACCACGAAGGGUCCUUCCCAGGGAGUGGAUAACUUGUGCAUUCCCUCCUGGCUUGUUUUCCAUCGAAGCACCAGAUCGCCGACCACGAAGGAACGGUCCUUGACGUUCCUGUUGUAGUAUCGCCUUACUGCCGCGAGAUAUUUUGCUGUUCGGAGACAUGAAACUAAACGCUUUUCCUCCAUGCAAUUGAUUUCGAGUUCUCUGGCGUUGUCGGCAGUCGCCUGGUCGAAGUGCUCGAUUCUAGGAGAUCCGAAGUGUAUGUCAGACGGCAGGACCGCCUCUGCACCGUAUACCAUGAAGUAGGGAGACACCCCUGUGUUUCGACUGGUCUGGGUUCGGAGGCCCCAGACUACUGCCGGCAAUUCUCUCAUCCAUCGACCGGGUGCUCUGUCGUUUUCGGUGUACAGCCUCUUCUUUAGGGCGUCAACGAUCAUUCCGUUAGCACGUUCGACUUGACCGUUGGCACGUGGAUGUGCCACUGACACAUAUUUUAUGACUAUGCCUCUGUCAUCGCAGAAAUCCCAAAAAGUGGUGCCAGUAAACUGAGUGCCCAGGUCGGUGAUUAUGCUGUUCGGGAUGCCGAAUCUGUGUAUGAUUUGAUUGAGAAACUCCACAGCCUUCUCGGAGGUUGCCUUGACCAGGGGCAUGUAUUCAAUCCACUUGGAGAACUUGUCGAUUAGCACGAAGACAAACUUGAAAUUGCCCGGGGCUGGUUUAAAUGGUCCGAUCAUGUCAAGCCCCCAGCAAGCAAAGGGCCAAGACGACGGGAUAGUUUGAAUUUCAUGGGCAGGUACGUGGGUCCUCUUAGCGAAAAACUGACAUCCUUCGCAAUGCCGAACCAGUUUUUCUGCGUCGCCGACCGCGGUUGGCCAAUAAAAACCUGCUCGGAAAGCCUUUCCGACCAGCGUUCUAGAUGCGGCGUGAUUGCCGCAGGAUCCAGCGUGUAUGUCCUCCAAGAGCUUGAUACCAUCAUCUUGGGGUAUGCACUUGAGCAGUACUUCGGAGCUUGCGUUUUUCCGCAUGAGUUUUCCGUCGACCAGGAUGUAUUUCUUUGAUCGUAUUUGAUGAACGGGGUACGCCAGUCACGCCCACCGGUUGUCGGAGUGGCGUCAUCUUUGAGCAUUGCCUCGGUGGGUUGCUUGUCGACCAGGGGAGGGCUUACGCUUGGCUCAUGGAUGUCCUGGACAAAAAUACCCCACGGGAUUUGGGCCCGAGAUGAGCCUAACUUUGACAACGCAUCUGCUGCUUGGUUCUUAUCCCGGACCACGUGGAUGUACUCUAUGCCAUAGAAGUUAGUUUCCCAUUUGCGAAUUUCUUUGCAGUAGAGAUCCAUCUUCUCGUGGGUUGCGUCCCACUCCUUGUUGAGCUGGUUGAUGACCAAAGCGGAGUCGCCGUAGACAUAGAGGCGCUUGACCCCCAGUUCAACGGCUAGUCGUAUGCCAUGUAAGCAUGCUUCGUAUUCGGCGACGUUGUUUGACGCCGGAAAAAGGAUCCUAAGGAUGUAGCGGAGUUUGUCCUUGUUGGGUGAUACGAACAAUAUCCCAGUGCCUGCACCGUUGAUGUUCAAGGACCCAUCAAAGAACAUUGACCAGUGGUCUGAGACAUCGGGAACGGAAGGCUCGUUGAGAUCCGUCCAUUCGGCAAUGAAAUCGACCAGGGCUUGGGACUUGACAGUGGUGCGACUCUGGAACUCCAGGGAAAAUGGACAUAAUUCCAUUGCCCAUUUAACGAUUCUGCCAUUGGCGUCUUUAUUGCGCAGGAUGUCCCCGAGAGGAAAGCUGGUUGUCACCAGGACUCGAUGGCCGUCGAAGUAGUGCUUCAGCUUUCUUGAUGUUAUCAGGAUGGCGUAUAUAAGCUUCUGUAUUUGUGGGUACCUGGCCUUGGACUCGUUUAAGACUUCGCUUAUGAAGUAAACGGGUCUCUGGACCUUGAAGACGUGACCUGGUUCAUCUCGCUCGACCACUAUUGCCGUGGAAACAACCCUGUCGGUUGCAGCAAUGUAAAGGAGUAGGUCUUCAUUGGGCUGAGGCGCUGUGAGGACAGGUGGUGAAGUGAGGAAGGUCUUAAGCUGAGUGAACGCAGCGUCGGCUUCCUCUGUCCAAGAAAAUUUUUCUGACGCUUUCAAUAGUUUGAAGAAAGGGAGGCCUUUUUCUCCCAGCCUUGAGAUGAAACGACUGAGGGCGGCCAUGCAUCCGGUUAGCUUCUGAAUAUCCUUGACAUUCUUCGGUGGUCGCAUGUCGAGUACGGCUUUGACUUUUGAAGGGUUUGGUCGUAUGCCGUCGCGACUGACGACGUUGCCGAGCAGUAAACCGGAAGGAACGCCGAAAAUGCAUUUCUUGGGGUUGAGCUUCCACUUGUACCUAUUGAGUGCCUUGAAGGUUCGGUCUAAGUUGUCGAUUAGGGUGCUCGCGUCCCUUGUUUUUACGACCACGUCGUCCACAUAGGCCUCGACGAGGUCAUCGCGAAUCUCGUCGUGGAGGCAUUGCUGGAUGGCCCUUUGAUAAGUGGCCCCGGCGUUUUUAAGCCCGAAAGACAUGGUAGUGUAGCAGUAUGCGCCGAAGGGUGUGAUGAAGGAUGUUUUGAUCUGAUCUUCUUCCUUUAGCGAGAUCUGGUGAUAACCAGAGUAGCAAUCUAGAAAGGAGAGGAGUUCGCAUCCGGCCGUUGAGUCGACCACCUCGUCGAUGCGAGGAAGACCAAAAGGAUCUUUAGGACAGUGUUUGUUGAGAUCGGUGUAAUCAACGCACAUUCUCCAUUCAUUAUUCUUUUUGCGUACAAGAACCGGAUUGGCGAGCCAAUCGGGGUGAUACACUUCUUUUAUGAAUCCGGCUGCUAGAAGCCGUGUUAUUUCUGUCCUAAUAGCCUCCUUUUUGUCACGAGCGAACCGUCGCAGUUUUUGCUUGAUUGGUCUUGCGGUCUUCGAGACAUUUAAGGAGUGCUCGAUCAGGUUUCGUGGGACACCGGGCAUGUCUGCGGGUUUCCAUGCGAAAACGCUCACGUUGUCCCUUAGAAACCUGACGAGCGCGUCUUCCUAUUUUGGAUCCAGGUUAGCCCCGAUGAGGGCUGUCUUCUCGAGGUUGCCUUCGACCAGCUACACUUCUUUGUACUCCUUGGAUUUCGAGUUCUUUCUGGCUGUCUCCUGCUCAGGUAAUCGGAGCUGGUCGGGAGGCAGCUGUGCGGCUUGGUUUGCUGUUUCCGCCAUGCGGAUUGAGAGGUCGAUUGCCUCGGUGAUCUUGAAGCUUUCUUCUUCGCAGGUGUACGCGGUGUAGACGUUGCCUCUGAUGGUUAGGACACCCUUCUCCGUGGGCAUCUUAAGGACUAGGUAUGAGUAGUGCGGGACUGCCAUGAACUUUGUCAGCGAUGGGCGGCCCAGUAUGGCGUGAUAGGUCCCGUCGAAAUCCGCGACUACGAAGUUGAUGAACUCCGUCCGGAAGUGAUCGGGUGUGCCGAAUUGGACAGGCAAUGUUAUCUGUCCGAGGGGCACCGAACUUUGACCUGGCAAAACCCCCCAGAAUUGGGCGUCGUAAGGUUUUAGUUGUGCCGGUGAUAUCUUGAGGGCGGGCAGGCUGUUGCGGAAAAGGAUGUCGAUGGAGCUUCCCCCGUCCACGAGCACGCGCUCGAAUCUGAUGCUAUUGAUGCAGGGAUCAAGAAUCAGUGGGAAACGACCCGGCUCUGGGAUAGCGGCCCACUGGUCCUUCCUGCUGAACGAGAUCUCCCUGUGGGACAACGCGGGAAAUUUCGGGUCUGCAAUCAGCCCGUCCGUGCUGUCUAUGUUGAGGCAGGCUCUCUUUAACAGCUUUCUUUCUCGCUUGGACUCAGUGGAGACCUUGCCCCCGAAAAUGGAGUGGACCACGUCGGUGGGGCUGACGUAUUGGUGUCGGGGGUCCCUGUCUUGGUCCUUAUCCUCAUCUUCGUGGUCGUGCCCGUCGCGCUUGUUAUUUUUCUUGGCGGAGUCCUCUUGGGCGGCCCGCCGUGUAUAGAUACUUUUGAGGACGCGGCACUCUUCCAUGGUAUGGUUAGACUUUGGGUGUAGCUGGCACGGUCCCUUCAACGUUUUGUUGUAGUCGUCUUGGUAGUCCCGUCGUCCAUUGGGACGUUUGACCGUAUUUACUUCGUGGUCGUAUUCGCGAGGGCGCUUUCCUCUGAAGUCGUCGCGGCUAUCGCGCCGCCGAUCCCAACCCUCUCGGUGAUCGCGGUUGUCAGAGCGGCGGUGAUUUCUGUUGUCGUAGUGACCACGACCGUCAUCUCGCAGGGAAGGCUGGUCGGGGCCUCUCGCAUCGUCUCGGAUUAGUUUUUCUGCGUCAUCAGCAUCGGCGUAAUUUUUAGCCGUGGCGAGGAGCUCUGCUACCGUUGAUGGGCGCUUACGCAACAGCUUGUUCCUCAGCGCUUCAUGGAAACGCAAGCCCUUGAUAAAGGCCGAUAUGGCCUCGUCAUGGGAAAUCUUCGGGAUUUUGAGGCGCAUAUCCGAGAAUCGUCGGAUGUAAUCGCGCAGAGGUUCAUUCUUCCUGUCUCUUAUCCUUUCAAGGUCAUACUUGUUUCCGGGCUGCUCGCAUGUGGCGAUGAAGUUGUCGAUGAAAGCCUGGCGUAGCUCUUCCCAAGAGUCGAAGGAGUUCUCGGGCAAGCCGAGAAGCCACUGAUGACCAGCCUGGUCGAGGACUACGGGGAAGUAGUUAGCCAUGACGUGCUCAUCUCCUGCCGCUGAUCGGACGGCGAUUUCAUAGAGAGUGAUCCAGUUCUCUGGAUUUUCCUUGCCGUCGUAUUUUUUAAGUUUUUCGAGCUUGAAAUUGCGGGGCCACACGACCUGGCGGAGGUGUGAGGAGAACUGUCUUAGGCCUGGAGGACCGUGGGUCGCAUCGUACUCGAUGCGGCGCAGGUUUUCGUGGACUGCUCUGUCUGCGGCGCGCCUGUUGAUGCGGUCCCGGGCAUCUUUGGGAGGGAUGUUGUGGCGGAGAUCCCUGUGUUGAUCUUCUUCUUGGCCGCGUAUGCCAUGAAUUUGCUUGCGGCGGCCAUCGGCGUCCCGACCACCAUCGUCGCGCCGCGAGUCCCCUCGACGGUUGUCGGGGGAGCGGCUGCGGUGACGCCUGCUGGGUGAGACCUGGAUACGAUUAGUCUGGUCGGAGGCGGCUUCCGUAUAAGAGACGUCCUGGACUCUCUUGAGUAGAGUGGCUGUCUGUCCCAUUGCGGCGAUCAGGUGUGCUCGGAUGCUGGUCCGGACUCCCUGGCAUUCGGGGGUGUCAGGAAGCCGAUCCAGGUUGGCCAUGGCGACAGCCACGUUGGCGCUUGGCGUUUUGUAGACUGGCUGGUCCCCGACCAUGUCAAAGGCAUCGUUGAGGUUACUUGGUGGCAUCUGUUGCUCGUCCGCACGCCGUCGGGCGCGAUCGGCGUUACGCUGUUCGCGGAGUUGCCUCUGGUCAUCUGUUUCUCCGUCAACAGCCGGUUCGUCGGCGCUGACAUUGAACACAAUAUCCCCUCGCCGGGGGGGGGAAUAUCGGGAAUCGGUCGAAACCCGGAGGGUGUGAAGGAAAAUCCAGGUCGUAGCCCUCGUCUUCGGUGUUUAUAACCUCGGUGGGGACGGAGCCGGUGCUUGAGUUGGUGCUGGAAACCUGGCCGUCCCGUAGCUCUCGGAUUGUCACCAUGUUGACAUGGUGACGAUUGUUCCUUGUCGGCGACCAACCCGCCUUGCUGAAAACGGAUUGGACAUGCUGUGAGUAAACAGAGGCCGAGUUGUUCAGGCCGCGAGGAUAGUCUUCCUUUUUGAGCUCGACGGAUCGUCCUGAGGGGGUUGAGGUUAUCGUCAGGGACGUUCCCAGCCGUUCGUGUGUGGCGACACGAGUUGGCCGGCGGGAUUUCGAAAAAUCCGCUCGAGUAGCUUGGUCGGGCCGGCGCAGAACUCCAUCUAUUAGUUGGGAGACUUCGAGUAGCUUGGAGUCAGUGCGAUCGAGCGCUUGGAGGAGGUCCGAGCAGUCGAUCUCCUUUCCCUUGUAGAGUGGGAACGGUGGUCGGGCGCUUGGUGCUGUCAUGCGUGUGGUCGGAGACGGCGUGAUCUCAGAUUGGAUCUGGAUCUCCUUCGGAACCGUGGUCGCGAAGCUGCCGCUGCACGUCGUCCACGUGAUCUGGCCGACGGUGAACGUGAGGCCUUCGGGCACGGUCGCGGAAGCUGGGAUCGUGACCAUCUUGUUCGCCGGAAAAGUUGCACGCACACCCCCUACCUGGCGCGCCACUGUCGACGAAAGCUAGUCGGCAGUCUACCUUGGGGUAUACCCACGGUAGUAGUUUAUCGGUAGACGGUGCGCAAACUACGAACUCGAUGGUGACGCAAGACACGGGCAAGCUUUUUAUCCAGGUUCGGCCGCCGAGUUGGCGUAAUACCUACGUCCUGCGUCUGAUUGUAUUGAUUUGUGUUGAGAGAAUAUGAUGUCCUAGGGGGGUCCCUUGCCCCUCCUUAUAUAGUCUGGAGGGCAGGGUUACAGAUCUGGAAACUAAUCCUAGUCGGUUACAAUUGCCAUGGAUAAUUCGAUAUCAAUUCCUAUUCUAACCGACUAGAAUCCUACUUGAUCUCCACAUCUUGUUUCCUUGCGCGAAACUCCAGGUUGUCGGAUCAAGCCUUGAACUCGUCUCGUAAUGGGCCAAGCCUCCUGGCCGAAGUCUAGCCGUAAGGGUAUAGGGGUUUAUACCCCCACAGAUAUAAUGUUCUCAAUUAUACAUGCAAUGAUAGAUGCUCAAUCUCAUAUUCUAUUCUGUAAUCAAUAUUGAUGAUUGCUAAUCCCUUCCCAGUGGUAAAAAUAUAAAUAACGAUACCUGGAAUACUUCCCGGUUAAAAUGUUGCAUCGGUAUUAAUCUGUGCACUUGCAGAUCCCAUUCAUUAUUUAUUUAGAAGAGCAAUUGCAUAUUUCAAUACCGCGUCUCUUAUAUCAUGCUGGGGAUGACAACUUGGCUUAAGUGGUGUGAGGGAUAGGUUUGGCAUUUUUGGCACCGUUACUAGAUUUAGAGAACUUAGUCUACUUUUGGUAAUGAUGUUAAGAAUACCCAACAAGCAUUUUUGGCGCCGUUGCCGGGGAAGGUUGAUUACUAAUCAGAAAUGGAAUAAAAGAUUUUGAGUUAUCAUUCGCAUCACUAAUAUGAUUGAGCUUAUCUAUUCUCUCAUACAGUUUUACCCCGAUAUUUUCCUAUUUCAUCUUAUGCAGGGGAAUGUAUGAAUAGAAGACAUCUUCCAGGAAAUUUUGUUGACAAUCCCGAAGCAUUAUUCAAGAAGACGAGAGCCAAGCUAAAGAAAUCAUCAACACUUCAGCAAGAAGCUUCAUCCAAUCAAGAAGAUCACCGGAACUUGUCUUCAGAGUUUGAAGCCAUGGCAAACAAAUCAAUCCGCGAGUUCUCAGCUCCCACUACGGAUAACAUCCUCACUGGACCUGCUGCAGAGAUCGAUGGCAACUUUGAGCUCAAGCCUAGACUUAUCAACAUGGUGCAAUCCAACCAGUUCUGUGGGAAGGCACACGAAGAUGCUAGUGCUCAUUUACAACAUUUCCUGGAGAUUUGCAACACAUUCACCAUAUCAGGAGUUCCCAAAGAUGCUAUACUACUUCGCCUCUUCCCAUUCUCACUAUUAGGAAGAGCGAAGUAGUGGUUCUACGCUACAAAGGAGAAGAAUACUACGUGGGCACUCUGCUCAACAAACUUCCUGGCUAAGUUCUUUCCCAUGGGCAAGACCAAUGCUCUCCGUGGGAAGAUUACAAGUUUUCAGCAACAAAAUGAUGAAUCUGUUCCAGAAGCAUGGGAGCGCUUUCAAGACUACAUCCUAGAAUGUCCCCAUCAUGGAAUGGAGAGUUGGCAGUUGAUGCAGACAUUUUAUCAUGGGCUCGGCAACAGUGCUCGAGAAACCAUGGAUGCUGCAGCUGGAGGAGCAUUCUUAUCACUUACAAUACCACAAGCCACAGCUCUUGUGGAGAAGAUGGCGUCCAACCAAAGCUGGAAUGAAGAGAGGACCCAGACACGCAAGAGAGGUGGACGUAUGCAUCAGCUGAAAGAGGUAGACAUGCUGUCUGCAAAGCUAGACCUGCUCAUGAAGAAGCUCGAUGAUAGAGCUGGAGACAAGAAAGAAGUUAUGCACAUCUACGACUCUCACAUGACUUGUGAGGAGUGUGGAGACACUGGACACUUAGGCAACCACUGCCCUGAGAUGCUUGAGGAUGUGAACUACGUCAACAACAACUACUACUACUACAACCGUCCUCAACAAAAUCAUGGUUGGAAUCAACAGAGGCCUAACUACUCAGGUAAUUAUCAAGGUAACAAUUCUUACAACAACAAUAAUAAUUAUCCACCUUUGAGAGAGUUAGUGUCUAAUCAAGGAAAGCUAAUGGAUAAUCUAUCUAAGAAAUUGGCAUCUAAUGAUAAAAUGCUAGAAAAUAUAAAUAAUAGAAUGGAUAAUUCCUCUACUGCCAUUAAGAAUCAAAUUAGCUUUAAUAAAAUGAUUGAAUCUCAGUUAAAUCAAAUAGCUGUUGCUGUUCCUACUACUAACCCCGGUAUACCAUCACAACCGGAAGGAUUAGAAUCUGCAAAUCUUGUAGACACGUUUGAUGCAGGUAAUUGGAGUAACCCCGUCACUGAAUUCUCUACUGACCUUCUGCCGGUCAAGAGAGGCGAUCCAGGACGCCCCGUCAUCCCGAUCUCUAUCGGCAUGGUGGACGUUCCAGAAGCACUCUGCGACUUUGGCUCCAGUGUCAACAUUAUAACCAGGGUACUCUAUGAAAAAUUCUUUACAUAUCCUUUAUUAGAAACAACCAUGUGUUUGCAGUUUGCAGAUCAGACGAUAACUUUUCCAAAAGGAAUAGUGAAGAACCUUUGUGUCCGAGUUGGUACCUUAUAUGCCCCAGCAGACUUCGUAGUGGUAGAGACCGGAAAUGAUGAGAGAGCACCUAUCAUCUUAGGGAGGCCAUUCUUGAAUACCACGGGAGCUAUCAUCUAAGCUAGUGGUGCUAAGAUCAGUUUCUACGUCAAAGGGAAGAAGGAGACAUUUUUCUUCAAGAACAAGACUACACAAAUUCCAGAUCAAUCCAGACGUCAAUCAAGGAAGAGGACCAAUAGGAGGAACAGGAACAAGCAAGUGUGGACCGAGCCAGCUAAGAUGGUCACUGUAGUUCAUGGAGGCCAAGAUCACCAACUUAAGUCACCGCUUUUGACCAAGAAGGACGACCCAGGAAUGCCAAGCAUCUACUGCUCCAUCAAUGGAUACAAUUUCUACAAGACGAUUUGCGACACCGGAUCGGGCGUCAACAUAAUGGCCGCAGUCACCUAUCAGCUCUUGUUCGGAACCAUGCCACUAAGACCAACAUACAUUCAACUCCAGAUGGCAGAUCAGACAUUUCGAGAAGUUAAAGGAAUAGUAACUGAUGUUCCAGUCAAAAUAGACGACCACUUUGUCUACACAGACUUUCAAGUUAUUGACAUGGGAGAAGAUGAGUACGAUCCACCCAUCAUCCUUGGAAGACCGUUCCUCAGCACCGUUAAAGCAACUAUCUACAUUGGAACCGGAGAAGUCCAUAUGCACUUCCCCUCAGAGAAGGUACGCCGUUAUUUUACUGACCCUAACUAUAUCGUUGAAGAAUCUAAGCAGGUAAGGAAACGACGCAACCGCAACCAGAGGAGGCAGAUCAUCAAGGACGGAUGGGCAGACUACGAAGGAGAAGUUAUAAGGUCAGAAGACGUAGAGUUUAAACAGAAUUAUCCAGAGGAGACUGAAGCACCAAGUCAGGUGUGGAAAAUGAAGAUAACUAUACAUGAAGAGGAGGCGCCGCCGGAAGUUCCGACUACGCCACCCAACGAACCUCAGGACGAUUGAAAAAAAUGGAGAGUCCCGUUCGGAGGACUUAAAAAAACACCGAACGCCUUGCCGAGAGGUAAACUUGGUAGUUAUCCUUUCCCUUUCAAUUAAUUCAACUAGUUUACUUAGUUAAUCAUGUUAGUACUAUCUUAAAAAUAAAAGAAAAUAAAAAUGCGAAAAAACAGUAAGCCCCAUGUGAGUAUGCGAGUGGCACAAAACCCAUAAGUACAUUCACUGUGGUGGCCUAAAAAUAAAAUAAAAAUUUUCUUUUCUGCUUUAUAAAAUAAAAAUAUAAAAACAGGGAGUUAUAAUUAUUAAGGAGUCUCAAGAUGAUAAAGGCUAGAUAUUUAUGCUAACACUUAAUCAGUUCCACAAGCUUUGUUGUCUAUUUGAGCUCCACAGAAUUUAAGAGUCAAGAAGACUAGUAGACGGAGGACAUUCUAAUCGCUGUCAGAAUGCUGCUGACUUUCAAAUACACCUCUGCCACCUGCUAGCUACAUCAAGAGAAAUUACGUCAAAAUUCAGCUUGGGGGAGAGCACCCCCAUUUAUCUCGAUAAGUAUUUCUAUCUAUCUUUAUACUUAUAUUAUAUUAGAAUAUUAAAAUACAUAAACUAUAAAAAACCAAAUAAAUAUUUUAUGCUUAUAUAUAUGUCUUUUGCUUAGUGUGUUUAAUAAAUAAAUAAAGUGGCUAUGCUAAUCUGUAUCUAAAUAAAACUUAAGCAUGGAUAUGAUGAAUAGUUGCUCUGCCUAAUUUGCACAUUUUAAGUUCUCUCUCAAGUUUAGAUAUAACUGUUAUAAUUUAAAGCUUGCUCUAGACCUAAACUUGUGGGAUGAAAACUUGAUCUGAAGCGGAUACGAUAUAGGAAGGUUGAGCUGCUGUUUAUCUGUUCCUAGAGAUGCUAGAAUUCUAGAGAAUUUUAUCUUUGAAAAUCUUUAAAAUGUUGCAUGAUGAGUUCCUGUAUGAUGAGAGUUUAAAUUCCUACCACAGCCAUAUAUACAUGCUUGCUAGACUUUGAGCCACACAUUUACUAUUUACUGCUUAUGAGCAUUGAGUGUGGUCAAGCUGUGUAGACCCUUAGGAACUUGUCAUGUGGUUAAAUCAAGAUUCACUUGCACGUUCACUCAUAUAUGCUACUUCUACUCCGGAAGUACCAUCCACAUAUAUCCACCCAUUCCAUCUCCAGAAUCACCCAAAAAUAUUCUACUCCUAAUCCGGGAGAGAAUAACCAAAAAUAUUUCUGUUUUCCCUUGUGAAAUAAAUGCUCAAGUUAUCUUGUUACUACCACUUGCUAUAUUAUCUCAAGCGAUGAAUGCUCUAAAAAAAGAGAGAAAUACGAGGAAAGAAAAAGGAGCAAGUGCUCGGAACCUCGAAAGAAAAGAGAAAGUGAGACGAGAGGUAAAAAUGGACAAGUGUCCGACAGUAGAAUUAGGGGUACAAGAUACCCACCUGAGAGAAAAGAAAAAGAAGAGCAUCUCAUUCUCCUCAUAAAGUUUCAAAAAAGCAAGAAAGGUAUGUAUCCCCUCAAAAGAGCAAGGUAGAAUUAGACUUCCACCACCAUUGUUUUCACUAUUGUUAUCACCAUCAUCACUAUACAUCAUUCAUUCGCCACACAUGCACAUCUUGAUUAAACUCAUUGGCUUGUUUCUUUGGAUCCAUGGUUUGACUAUGCAAUACAUGUCUUGUAAGUAUGUAUACUUUAUCUCCCACCUAUGAGCUCCAGAUAUUAAAGCCUUAUUAGAGUAGGGUGAGAGAGAAGGCAAUGUCAUUAUGCUUUAUACCACAAAUACCACAUAUAUUGAGAGAAGGCAUAUACCAUUACUGCCUUGGUAAGGAUCCAGAAAUACCACAAAAGAGAGAUCUGAAAGAAUCAUACAAGGAAUCUCUGAGUUUUAUUUGAAAAUCUGCAAAAACCCCAGAUAGAAGUGACGGUUACAAGUCCCAUGGUAGAAGGUAAAGUAAGUCAGUUUUUAGUCUUGACAGUUUACUCUAACUCAGAGAUGAGAUCUUAUUUAAAAGCAUGUGUACCGUCAAAUUUUUAAAGAUAUUGCAACAACUUAUGAUCCAUAGCUGAGUCUAUCCUUGCUCAGGGACGAGCAAGAGGUAAGCUUGGGGGAGUUUGUUGACGGUCCUUAAGUAUCAAAUUUAAUUAUCAAAUAAAUAAAGAAAAGGAUCCAAAUGAAAUCAACAUCUAGACUUAGGGUUUUAUCUGACAGAAUUCCACGAGUUUUGGUGUUUGUCUAUUUCUACAGGGGGUUAUUAGGAAAUACGGAAGAAAGGCCCACACGUCGGGAUUACGUAAAGAUAUUAACGUGCCGCGCAAUUAUCUUACAUCUAGAAGACUCCAGGAGCCACGAGACCGAAGCGGAGGCGAAACGGGGCCAGACCCUGGGCGCCCGCCCAGUUGGUCAGGACGCCCGCCCUGCCUCUGAGUCCAAUCAGGACUCUGCUUCGUGGGAGAUCUGCACCGACCUAAAGGAUGAAUCUAAACCAUACAAUCUAUGUCGGUUUGAUCCAAUGGCCCAUAUUCACUUGAAGGGACUAUAAAACCAGACCCCCUGGCCCCUGGAGGAGGGAGCCUCUCAACCCUAAUUCAUUGUUCUUCAAGGGAGAAGAAGCCCCUGAUCAAGAUUAGAGCCACCACAUCAAUUAGAUAUCUAGAUUCGCAUAGCUACAUAGGAUUAGAACUAGAAGGAGUCAAUCUUCGAUUGAUUUCUGGAUCUGUCAAGAGGAUACUUGGUAAUUCUCUAAUUGUGCUUCUAAUUGCUUUCUAAUUAUCUUUGUUCUUCAAUAUUAUGAAUAUGACUUUGUUCUACUUCAAUAUAUUGCUUAUGACUUUGAUCUACUUGCUUAUAUUCAAGAUGAUAUUGUUCCUAGUUUAUCAUAGUUAUGUACUUGGCUUAGUUAGAUUGGAUCUAUAUACAUGCUUAGGAUCGUAUAGCGUUUAUCCAUCGGAUCCAUGGGUAAAUGAUAGAUAUUGUGUAGGCGUGGUGCUUAUACCGUAUUUAUCUGCGAUUGUACCCAAUAUGCCAGAUCGUGGGGUAGUUCGUGAUAGUGACAGCUUCAUUGAUUCUUAUAUAGUCCCCCUCUCAUGUAUUGGGCUGGCAGAGCAACAUUAUUACAGGGGAAUGAUUGUUAUGUUUCUCAUAUUCCUUGCUAAUAUCACUAUGCAUGGGCGUAGUCUUGUCUCGCAAUGAUUGCUAAGUAUGCUUGCACUAACUAUGAUAAUGCUAGACUAUAUAGUUGAGAAUAACUUAGGGAAUAUUCUUGUAGUUCGUUCUAAUACCAUGCUAAUGACUUUCUAUAGUAUCUAAUUGAGGUGCUUAUCAUAUUUAUUAUGUGGCUAGAUCAGAUUAGUUAUCCUUGUCACUAUUAUUAUUUCAUAUAUCUUUUAUGUGACACUUAUCCCUGUAUGAUGAGUUAGAUAUAAUGUUCUCAAUUAUACAUGCAAUGAUAGAUGCUCAAUCUCAUAUUCUAUUCUGUAAUCAAUAUUGAUGAUUGCUAAUCCCUUCCCAGUGGUAAAAAUAUAAAUAACGAUACCUGGAAUACUUCCCGGUUAAAAUGCUGCAUCGGUAUUAAUCUGUGCGCUUGCAGAUCCCAUUCAUUAUUUAUUUAGAAGAGCAAUUGCAUAUUUCAAUACCGCGUCUCUUAUAUCAUGUUGGGGAUGACAACUUGGCUUAAGUGGUGUGAGGGAUAGGUUUGGCAUUUUUGGCACCGUUACUAGAUUUAGAGAACUUAGUCUACUUUUGGUAAUGAUGUUAAGAAUACCCAACAGUAAUGACCAAUCAGGGGGUUGAAUGAUUGGUGCAGAGAUGAGUGCUUUCUUUAAUAAAUUGAAAGAUGUUAGACAUGCAUCAUCAAAUUCAAAAAGAGCAUCCUUGGCUAGCAAAAGAGUAAGUGGUCUAGCAAUAAAUGAAAAAUCUUUUAUGAAUCUACGAUAAAAACCAGCAUGGCCAAGAAAGCUUCGAAUUCCUUUUAUGUUCACAGGUGGAGGUAGUUGUUCAAUUACUUCAAUUUUAGCUUUGUCUACCUCAAUACCUCUUUCAGACACUAGGUGUCCUAGCACUAUUCCUUCCCUAACCAUGAAAUGACAUUUUUCCCAAUUAAGGAUUAAGUGCUUUUCUUCACAUCUUUGCAAAACCUUGUCUAAGUUUUCAAGACAACUAUCAAAAGUUUUUCCAUAAAUAGAGAAAUCAUCCAUGAAAACUUCCAUAAUCUCUUCAAUCAUAUCAGAAAAUAUAGACAUCAUGCAUCUUUGAAAAGAAGCUGGUGCAUUACAUAACCCAAAAGACAUUCUACGGUAAGCAUAAGUUCCAUAUGGGCAUGUAAAAGUGGUUUUGCUUUGAUCAUCGGGAUGGAUCGGGAUCUGAUGAUACCCUGAAUAUCCAUCUAAGAAACAGAAGAACGAAUGGUUUGCUAAUCGCUCUAGCAUCUCAUCUAUAAAAGGUAAAGGAAAGUGAUCCUUUCUCGUGGCUUUGUUUAGUUUUCUAUAGUCUAUGCACAUCCGCCAUCCUAUGACGGUGCAUUGCGGAAUUAGCUCGUUCUUUUCAUUCAUAAUAACAGUCAUGCCUCCCUUUUUAGGCACAACUUGCACUGGGCUUACCCACUCACUAUGCGCCACAGGAUAUAUAAUCCCUGCAUGCAACAACUUUAUAACUUCCUUUUUAACUACAUCUCUCAUAGUGUUAUUAAGUCUACGUUGGGGUUCUCGAGAGGGUGAAACAGAAGGAUCUGUUGGAAUACGAAGGGUAUUAUCCAUCUCAGCUUCUAGGAUUCUAUCUAGGAUCACUCUAUGUCACACCCUGGCUUUUAAAAUAAGACCAGAGUCGUCAUAUGUGUGCCCAGGAAGUCCACACAUACAACAAAGAAUAGAAAUAUCAGAAAACAAUGUUAUAUAUAGCGGAAAACAUAUUUAUAAUAACACUUACAACUAUCAGAGUACGCGGAAACAGUAGCUAAACUUCUUAGGCUCCAUUCUUCUCAGGGACGGUUGACUGGGGGCUCCGUACGCCAAGCACUUCUGAUAUACUUCAAGAAAACUUCAUGACAUCUUUAUCCUUCUUCUGAGCACCACUUUACUACACACUGGGGUGUGGGGAAAAUAGCAAGGGUGAGUUCAUGUCGAACUCAACAAGUACAGGCGGAAAGUAUAAUGACAUGCAAGGCUUAAUCAAAGGAAAAGUUAACACUGUUUAACUGCAGGUGAUCUUUUAAGUUGGUACACUUUUAUUAUACCUCUUUUCUUUAAACAACCUAUUACUAGUUGUGAGUAGAGCAUCCCAACCCUUAAUUAGAUGAAAGUAAAUUAACCAUUUUAUUAAUCAUCAUCAUUAUUAUUAUUACCGAGGUAGGAACCUCACAUAGUAACUCAGGGUAGCAACCCCAUUAAGGUCAUGGGAUAGCAAUCCCAAUUAAGAACACAGGAUAGCAAUCCUACCAACACAGAAUAGCCAUUCCGCCAAAGCAUGAGGUAGCAACCUCAACCAAGUUUCGCCUCCAAGUAUCCAGUGAAUCCAAUUUGCUCAUCAAGUGAGGGUCUGGGCCGCUCGUGACCGUGAACAUGGCUGAUAUAUCAGUUUUACACUCUGCAGAGGUGUGCACGUUCACUCCAAGUCGUGAUUCCCAUUCGCCCGGGGUCGCGUUCCCCAAAACACUACCAAGGUGAGCAGGCAGGGUUUCACUACGAGACCUUUCAUAGGGUCCAACUAAUAGGAUGCCACUCGUAAGUUUUUGCCGGGGCGCGCGGCAGCCGUGCCCAUAGCAAUGGACUGACCGACCUCUUAAUAUAAAUACCCAAGCUACUUCCUUACGCCUACCCGGAAAGUAACACUCUACCAGUGGAGGUCCUGAUAAUUAGUCAAGCCAGAGCCAUAUAGCUUGGAGCUGCACUGUAUGUCCCAGGGGGCCGCUCCCUGACUAAGUCCUUACGGAGAGCAGAGACGGGUACGCCCGGCAAACCGGACCACCAACAGUACCCGCUCCCCCUUUCCUCAACAAACCACGAUGCUCGCAAGCACCGCAACAUCUCCGUCACCGAAGUGACCUUUAUCCAUCAUUGGAGCAUUAGUCAUCAUUGAAGAAUUCAUUAGGCAAGAUUAUUACUUUUAUUAUUAUAUAGUUUAGAUGAGUAGAGCAGCUAAGCAUAACUACUGUUCACUAUUCUACCCAUGUAUAAAACCCAGGAGUACAAGGAAUACGAUAGAAAGCUAGUCAUGUCCUUGGGGUUUGCAGUAUUAAGACACAUGCAAUGAAAAGCAAAUGUAUUUAAAGUUCAUAGGUACAAUAUGAUCAAAGGGUGUCUGCACUUGCCUUAAUUCGCAGUGUUUAACUGCUCAAAAAUCUUUGACUUCCUUCUUCUGAUCUCCAACUUCUGCUUCGACUGUCGGUCCUAAACGUGCUCGCUAGAAAUUUUGAACAUAUUUUAUGCUUGUGAAGACUGAACAUAUUUUAGUUAGUUUUUUUUAACUCAUAACUUUAAUUAAUUUUUUUUAAGUAGGACUUAUUUUUCUGAAAAUCAAAAGGACCUAAACGUGCUCGCUAGAAAUUUUGAAAUUCAUUUUUCUAAGACCAGCCAAACAAAGCUAGGUCACAAAACACACAUCAAAUAAAACACCCUCCACUUAAUUUAUUAAAAGUUUUAGAAUUCCACAUUUUUCUCAUUUUAUAAUAACAACAAUGAAUAAAAUCUUGGAAUAUUUCACAAAAAUUUUAAAUCCUUAUUUAAUUUAGUAUUUUCUAAUAACAAUUCAAAACUAAAAAUUUUGGAGUGUUAUACUCUAGCUUCAUCAGUAGGGAAGCGAAAGAAAGAACCUCUAGACAUUGUGUGUAGCAUUUGUUUGUGAUUUUUCUGAAGACCUCGAAAAAAGUGAAAUAAAAGAACAGGAUCUUCAAGAUUAAGGUUUGGACCAGAUUCUAAAAGAUUAGAAAAACGUUUCCAGGAUUUUCCCAAAGUUUCAUUAUCUUUUUGUUUAAAAGAUAGGACUUCGAGUCUAAGGUCGGCUAUACGGUCGAGGGAAUAGAAAUCUAGACAAAAGUUGGCUCGUAAAACUCCCCAUUCACCUCGUUGUUGACUUACCUUGUGACUGUACCAUUGUCUAGCUUCUUCCCUUAAGGAAAAAGGAAAAAGCUUCCAACGUAAAGGAAAAAGCUUCCAACGUAAAGUUUUAUCAGAAAUGCCUUCAAUGCGAAGACAAUCACAUGUUUGCUCAAAAUCUCUAAUAUGAAGGUAAGGGUUUUCGUCUUCCUUUCUCGAAAAAAAUAGGUUUUGAAUCAUGGCAAUCAACCUAGAACUUAACUUAUACUGGGAUGUUUGGAUAGGCUGUGAUAAUUCCCAUGGUAAAAGGUCAGUUACUGAAGGGAUUGCAGAUUCAUGGAUCGAUUUAGAAUUUUGGUUUUCCAUAAGGUAAGAGUAAAGAAAAUAAAUAAAGAAUAUAAAAGAUAAGAAAAGUAUAGAUACAAGCUAGUAGUAAGACUCAAGGUUAUCUUCAGCAACGGCGCCAGAAAUGCUUGUUGAUAUUUGGGAACGCAAUAAGGAAUUGAUCCGCAAGCGCACGAAUAUCGGUGAGCACUUCACCCGGGAAAUUAUCUAGAGUAUCGUAUUUAUUUUUUUACCACUAGGAGAAAGAGUGCAUCUGACUAACCGGUCUAUUACUACUAACCCUUUAGGCAACAAAGAAUGUCUCUCGAUGUGAGUGAUAAAUAGAGAAGACUGCAACCGUAGUCUCCUUCUAACCUUGGUAAGGAUGAUCUAUUGUUCUAUUGGGGAGGCUAACGGAAUCUAGACACCACAAAGGAUGUUCAACCCGCACCUAUAAACCCUAUCCCUCCUGCUAACGAGAUAUGGUCUGCAAAGGUAACUCGGAUAUGUCACGUUCCUCGCUACUACCACGGUCUAGCUAGUCAGGGAAUAUCUAUGAGUACCCCAGCCUAAACACCACAUUUACACUAGCAAUGAUUACUCUAAACUCUACGCGAAGAGAUUAAAGUAAACUCAUAAACCAUAAGAACAAUAAAACAACAACUUACUAGAAUUUAGAAGUCGAAAUACCGAAGAAUCCUAGGAGCAAGCUUCGGGUUAGGAGAACUUGAUCCUGCAGGUACAAGCUUGGAGUAGACACCGACAGGCCGGGCUUCCUCCAAUCUACACCUCCACUCUAUCUCUCUCAAUCUAGUAGAAACUAGAAGAUCUAUUUCUACUUUACAUUGGUUGCUAAGCCUAAAAAGAAAUAUUAAUUAGAGAAGAGGUUUUUCUUCGAGGGCACCCCUCAAUCUCUAUGAUAACUUCCUCUCUCCUCCAGGGGCCAAGGGGGCCUCCUUAUAUAGUCCUCCAAUAUGCAUUUUUGGGUCGGUAGGCGAGGUGGAACUACGUUAUUCUUGAUCCAAUAGGUCGGUGGAACAACGUGUGCGAAGAGAGUCUCGAAAGACUUCCAGCAGGGGGCGGGCGCCCAGGUCACCAGGGUGGGUUCCUUGGCCUGGCCCCUUUCGGCCUCUGUUUUCUUCCCGUGGCUUCUGGAGUCUUCCUGAUGGUAGAAAAUCACGCGGUGCGUUGAUAUCUCUAUGUAAUCCCGAUAUGUGGGCCUUUCUUCCUUAUUUCCUGAUAACCCCUGCCGAAACAGAUAAACAACAAAACUCGUGGAAUUCUGUCAGAUCCAACCCUAAUUCUAGGUGUUGGUUGCAUAUUGGUCCAUUCUCUUGUUUAUUUAAUAAUUAAAAUUGAUACUUAAGAACCGUCAACAACAGUCACGGUGGAUGUUGGAACCGUUCGCUAGGUUCUUAGGGCUCGAUGCCUCCCUCAAUGGGAUCCCACUCACGUGACACCCGCAUGGGUCUCGGACAUGACAGGCAAAGAUGCGCCGAUCCCCUAGGAGGGUCGGACCAUGGCCUCUAUUGUGCUCAUCCUCAGUCAUCCCUCGCUCGAUCAUCCUGAGGCGACAGUUCGAACCCGGUUUUUGGGUCAGUCUCGCAACCUCUGGAACGUAGGUGGCCAUGGCCCGGGGAUUUUUGCUUUGAAAGGUUUUAGUUUGAUUUUAAUAUCGGGGUUGAGCGAGACGGAAUCUUCGCCCGACAAGAACCGCCUUGUAAUCUUGCUCGGGGCCAGUAGGGGUCAGGCGAGAUGGAAUCUGCGCCCGACGGGGACCUACCCGCGACUUUGGUCAACGGGGGGUCGAGCGCUUCUUGCUUUGGAAGGAACCAUCCAACAUAACUUUUCAGGGCGCUCCUUUUGAGGCGCGGUGCGUGGGGACUCGAAACGGCCGUGACGUCGUUCCCUGACCGGACGGGACGUUUCGGCUGUGAAAUUAAUGCGCGCGUGCGGCGGGCGUGAGAAUCGGAGGGAGUUGGCGCUUCGAAUUUUUCACCUGGUGGGGAGUGGGCGACGGUUGCCCUUUCCGCCCUCUUGGUCUUCUGCUGGCGACGUGGUCGUGGCGUUCUUCCUCUAUAAAAGCCGCCGUGGGGGACUUGGUUUCUUUCCUCUCGCUCCUGCAAAAAAGGUCUUGCCUCCUGCCUUUUCUCCUGCCCCCAUCUUCUCUGUUUCCGCCGCGCAGAUGCUCUUUCCCAUCCAAAGCCAUGGCCGGCGUUGAGGCGUGGCCACCUUGCUGCGUGACCAAGUCCGCGCUGGACGCCCGUGUGAAGGCCGGGAUUUUCCGCCCUCUCAAGGACGUCGAGUUCUCGGAGUGGAUCGUUCCUUCGGCGAACGACAGGGAGCCAAACACGCCCCUGGGCUAUGUGGUUUGUUUCCUGUCGUUCUUAGACCGGGGGUUCGGAACUACGGCCGGUUGACUGAUCCGGGCUAUCCUUCACUACUACGAGGUGGAGCUGCACAACCUCAACCCCAACUCGGUGAUGCAGGCCGCCGUCUUCGCUACAGUUUGUGAGGGGUUUCAGGGGGUUCCUGCCCAUUGGAACCUCUGGCUUCACCUUUUCAAGGCGGAGAUGUCGGCCCGCUACGUUGGAGGGGAGAAGUUCCCCCUGUGAGUCGGCGGUUGCACGCUGCAACUCCGCCAGCAGCGGUCUUCCCAGUACAUCUGGAGUACGAUGCCCUCGUCGAACCGGGGGUGGCAGAGCGGGUGGUUCUACCUCAGGAACGACGGUGGGCUUCUCCCGGCGUACACUGGGAAGAUGGUGACAGAGAGCCCCCAGAAGUGGGUGUGGGGUACUCCUACAGAGGAGCAGAAGAAGCUCGCCCCGCUUCUUGCGGGGCUUGAGAAGCUGCGGGAUGCCCGAGUCACCGCGGCCACAGUGGCGAUAGUGUUCCACAAGAGGAGUAUACUUCUACUGGCGCAGCAGCGGGUAUUCAUGUUUGAGAUGACUCGGGACGUCCCCUGGGCUGGGACGAAGAUGCUGGCCGAGCCAAUAUCGGCAUCGGAUAUCACCGCCCAAGUGGAGAGGACAACACACCCGGAUAUGAAGAACUCACGUGUGGUGCCGAUGCGCCCUGAAAAGGGCUACAUUUCUCUGGUAACAUGCUGAAUUUUUGCGCCUGUAUCCUUAUUCUUCCAGCCUUUUUCUUGACCGCUUGGUCGUUUGCAGAGGAUCGGGGUCGUUAGGGAUUCCCUGCCCCCUGUCCUAGAGGACAAGGAAAUUCGGGCCAAGAAUCGGGCCCGGAAUGAGGAACAGAAGAAGGCCAAGUAGGACAAGAAGGCCAAGGCGGCGCGGAAAGCGCAAAGGCGGGAGAUCUCCGCCAAGAACCACCGUGAAGCCGAGAAGGCGGGGGGAUUGAGACCCCAGAGGGGUCAAAGGCCCGAGGGGGGUCAGAGGCCCCCGAGGGGACUCAGGCGCCGGGGGGCGGAUAGGCCGUCCCCCACAUCAUUGUGGAUGACGAGGACAGCGCCCCUCGGGAGGGUUCGGUCCCCGUGGGUCCCCAAGAGGGGGAGAAGGCGUUGGAGGGCCAAUCCGAGGUGCCCCCUCAACUGGCAGUGCUAGAAGGUGUAACCGAGCCGUGCCCGGCGCCCAGGGCGGGGGCCGGCGCCUUGGUGGAAGCGACGCAGGCUGAGACCACCAUCGUGGCCCCUGCGCCGUCUGCUGGCGAGACAGGGGUCCACCCGACGGGCCCUGGCGCUUUGGGAGGGCCCCAUGGGGCUCUAAGCUCCCAGAAGAAGGCUGUCCCCCGAGCGAGGUACAUAUAGGAUUUCUGAUCCUUCCGUUGAUUUUUUGUUUUUCUCUUUCUUCUGAUUUGUGUUGCUCCUUCAGCCGGAAGCAAAAAGCGGCACCGGUGGCGCUGGCCCCCUGAAGGCCGUGAAGAGGGGGGCGCAGUCGACUCCUGGGUCGGCUAGGCCCGUAUCGCCUCCAUCCCUAAGCCACGCGGUGGGGGGAGCCGCCAGGAAGGAGAGGGGCUGAAGACGUGGGCGCCGAGGCCCCACGGGCCGGAGGUGAUGGCCCUUGCUCCCGGGGCUACGACUCCUCCGGAGGAUGUCGAUCUGGGAGGCGUGGUUCGGCCCGCGCAGGCUGAGGAAGGGCGAGCCAUUGUGGUGUCCAACACGGCGCCCGAGGCUCCCACGGCGGGAGGGGAGGUCGAUGCUCGAUGGGGCAAGAGCCCCGUAUUCUGGCCCAACUUCGACGAUGCAGAGGGAGGGGCCAGAUUCGUCCUGGACGACCCGUCGGAGGAUUACCUCAGGCAAGGUCUGGACGCAUGCGGUAGGAGACGCCGAGCUUCUCAGCUGGUGAGCCGAGACAUGUAUAACUUGGCCCAGGUAAGGCUUCUUCCCAAGUUGUAAAGUAUUUUUGCUCUGUUUUGCAAUACUGAAUCCCUGUGCGACUUCCGAUUCUAUAGGCGCUCAAGGCUACGUCCUUGGAGAAGUCAGUUUUUCUCCGCAGGGAAAGAGACGCCUGGGCGACCUGCGAAAACGAAAGGGCUGCUAGGGAGGCAGCUGAGGGGGAGCUCGUGAAAGAGUGCGAGAUCUCUACCGAGCUUCGGCAGAAGUGCUCGGCUCUCGCAUCCCAGGCUCAGGAGGCCCUGGAAAAGGUCACCCCCCUAGAGAAGAUGGUCAGGGACCUUACCCAGGAAUCCGAGGAGCAGAAGGCGGCGGCUGAGAGGUAUAAGGGUGAGGUUGCUCGGCUUGAGGCUUUGCUCGCCGAAAAAGUCCUUGCCCUGAACCAAACUCAGGCUGACCUUGCUGCUGCUCAGAGCCAGGUGGCCCGCUGGCACUGGAGCUCGGCGGAGCACGAGAAGCGAGCCGAGGGUAAGACUUGUGUUUUUUACCUCGGUCCCCUUCGUUCUUUGGGUUAACUUUCCUGACUUCCCAUUUUUUGCUCUGCUUUUCAACAGAGUUAGAGAGGAAGGUGGUCGAGGCGACCUCUACUGCCGAGGCUCUGCAGGGGUCCCUUGACGCCGAGGUUUCGGACCGCUCGGCUCUUGAAGCCGUGGUCACCUCGGCGUGUGAGGGGCUCGGGGUGCCGGCGUCAGGAUCAUCGCUGCGGAGUCAGGUCAAAGCCCUUUACUCCCGGGCCGGGGAGAGGAUGAGGGAGGCGCUCCACGCUGGGGUGAAGAAAGCCCUGGCGGUGGUGAGCUCUAUUGACGGUCCUUAAGUAUCAAAUUUAAUUAUCAAAUAAAUAAAGAAAAGGAUCCAAAUGAAAUCAACAUCUAGACUUAGGGUUUUAUCUGACAGAAUUCCAUGAGUUUUGCUGUUUGUCUAUUUCUAUAGGGAGUUAUCAGGAAAUACGGAAGAAAGGCCCACAGGUCAGGAUUACAUAGAGAUAUUAACGUGCCGCGCAAUUAUUUUACAUCUAGAAGACUCCAGAAGCCACGAGACCGAAGCGGAGGCGAAACGGGGCCAGAGGCAGGGCGCCCGCCCUCCUGCCCUGGGCGCCCGCCCCCUCUAGGAGUCCAAUCAGGACUCUGCUUUGCGGGAGAUUUCCACCGACCUAAAGGAUGAAUCUAAACCAUACAAUCUAUGUCGGUUUGAUCCAACGGCCCAUAUUCACUUGAAGGGACUAUAAAACCAGACCCCCUGGCCCCUGGAGGAGGGAGCCUCUCAACCCUAUUUCAUUGUUCUUCAAGGGAGAAGAAGCCUCUGAUCAAGAUUAGAGCCACCACAUCAAUUAGAUAUCUAGAUUAGCAUAGCUACAUAGAAUUAGAACUAGAAGGAGUCAAUCUUCGAUUGGUUUCCGGAUCUGUCAGGAGGAUUCUUGGUAAUUCUCUAAUUGUGCUUCUAAUUGCUUUCUAAUUAUCUUUGUUCUUCAAUAUUAUGAAUAUGACUUUGUUCUACUUCAAUAUAUUGCUUAUGACUUUGCUCUACUUGCUUAUAUUCAAGAUUAUAUUGUUCUUAGUUUAUCAUAGUUAUGUACUUGGAUUAGUUAGAUUGGAUCUAUAUACAUGCUUAGGAUCGUAUAGCGUUUAUCCAUCGGAUCCAUGGGUAAAUGAUAGAUAUUGUGUAGGCGUGGUGCUUAUACCGUAUUUAUCUGCGAUUGUACCCAAUAUGCCAGAUCGUGGGGUAGUUCGUGAUAGUGACAGCUUCAUUGAUUCUUAUAUAGUCCCCCUCUCGUGUAUUGGGCUAGCAGAGCAACAUUAUUGCAGGGGAGUGAUUGCUAUGUUUCUCAUAUUCCUUGCUAAUAUCACUAUGCAUGGGCGUAGUCUUGUCUCGCAAUGAUUGCUAAGUAUGCUUGCACUAACUAUGAUGAUGCUGGGCUAUAUAGUUGAUAAUAACUUAGGGAAUAUUCUUGUAGUUCGUUCUAAUACCAUGCUAAUGACUUUCUAGAGUAUCUAAUUGAGGUGCUUAUCAUAUUUAUUAUGUGGCUAGAUCAGAUUAGUUAUCCUUGUCACUAUUCAUUAUUUCAUAUAUCUUUUAUGUGACACUUAUCCCUAUAUGAUGAGUUAGAUAUAAUGUUCUCAAUUCUACAUGCGAUGAUAGAUGCUCAAUCUCAUAUUCUAUUCUGUAAUCAAUAGUGAUGAUUGCUAAUCCCUUCCCAGUGGUAAAAAUAUAAAUAACGAUACCUGGAAUACUUCUCGGUUAAAAUGCUGCAUCGGUAUUAAUCUGUGCGCUUGCAGAUCCCAUUCAUUAUUCAUUUAGAAGAGCAAUUGCACAUUUCAAUACCGCGUCUCUUAUAUCAUGCUGGGGAUGACAACUUGGCUUAAGUGGUGUGAGGGAUAGGUUUGGCAUUUUUGGCACCGUUACUAGAUUUAGAGAACUUAGUCUACUUUUGGUAAUGAUGUUAAGAAUACCCAACAUGGAGUCCCUCGGACAUGCCUGGUAUACCGAGGGAAGUCGUCGAGCACUCCUUGGACAUCCGAGCCGGCUCCAAACCCGUGAAGCAACGCCUGCGCCGAUUCGACGAAGAAAAGCACCGAGCCAUCGGGGAGGAGAUCCACAAGCUACUGGCGGCCGGAUUCAUCAAGGAGGUAUUCCAAAAGGCCAAAAGAAGUCGCGAGCUGGUCGGAUUCUUUCAUCUUGAUUUGGUGGUAACCAGAAUAAGCAUCAAGAAAAGAUAAAAUUUCACAUCCCGCGGUCGAGUCAACUAUCUGAUCAAUACGAGGCAAUGGAAAAGGGUUUUUCGGACAAGCUUUAUUUAAACUAGUGUAGUCUACACACAUCCUCAACUUCCCAUUUUUCUUUUUAACUAGCACAGGGUUAGCUAACCACUCGGGAUGGAAUACCUCCUUGAUGAAUCCGGCCGCCAGUAGCUUGUGGAUCUCCUCCCCGAUGGCUCGGCGCUUUUCUUCGUCGAAUCGGCGCAGGCGUUGCUUCACGGGUUUGGAGCCGGCUCGGAUGUCCAAGGAGUGCUCGACGACUUCCCUCGGUAUACCAGGCAUGUCCGAGGGACUCCAUGUUGGGUAUUCUUAACAUCAUUACCAAAAGUAGACUAAGUUCUCUAAAUCUAGCAACGGUGCCAAAAAUGCCAAACCUAUCCCUCACACCACUUAAGCCAAGUUGUCAUCCCCAGCAUGAUAUAAGAGACGCGGUAUUUAAAUGUGCAAUUGAUCUUCUAAAUGAAUAAUGAAUGGGAUCUGCAAGCGCACAGAUUAAUACCGAUGCAGCAUUUUAACCGGGAAGUAUUCCAGGUAUCGUUAUUUAUAUUUUUACCACUGGGAAGGGAUUAGAAAUCAUCACUAAUGAUUACAGAAUAGAAUAUGAGAUUGAGCACCUAUCAUUGCAGGUAUAAUUGAGAACAUUAUAUCUAACUCUUCAUACAGGGAUAAGUGUCACAUAAAAGAUAUAUGAAGUAAUAAUAGUGACAAGGAUAAUUAAUCUGAUCUAGCCACAUAAUAAAUAUGAUAACCACCUCAAUUAGAUACUCUAGAAAGUCAUUAGCAUGGUAUUAGAACGAACUACAAGAAUAUUCCCUAAGUUAUUCUUAACUAUAUAGUCUAGCAUUAUCAUAAUUAGUGCAAGCAUACUUUGCAAUCAUUGUGAGACAAGACUACGCCCAUGCAUAGUGAUAUUAGCAAGGAAUAUGAGAAACAUAGCAAUCACUCCCCUGUAAUAAUGUUGCUCUGCCAGCCCAAUACACGAGAGGGGGACUAUAUAAGAAUCAAUGAAGCUGUCACUAUCACGAACUACCCCACGAUCUGGCAUAUUGGGUACAAUCGCAGAUAAAUACGGUAUAAGCACCACGCCUACACAAUAUCUAUCAUUUACCCAUGGAUCCGAUGGAUAAACGCUAUACGAUCCUAAGCAUGUAUAUAGAUCCAAUCUAACUAAGCCAAGUACAUAACUAUGAUAAACUAAGAACAAUAUAAUCUUGAAUAUAAGCAAGUAGAGCAAAGUCAUAAGCAAUAUAUUGAAUUAGAACAAAGUCAUAUUCAUAAUAUUGAAGAACAAAGAUAAUUAGAAAGCAAUUAGAAGCACAAUUAGAGAAUUACCAAGAAUCCUCCUGACAGAUCCGGAAACCAAUCGAAAAUUGACUCCUAGUUCUAAUCCUAUGUAGCUAUGCUAAUCUAGAUGUCUAAUUGAUGUGGUGGCUCUAAUCUUGAUCAGGGGCUUCUUCUCCCUUGAUGGAACAAUGAAUUAGGGUUGAGAGGCUCUCUCCUCCAGGGGCCAGGGGGUUUGGUUUUAUAGUCCCUCCAAGUGAAUAUGGGCCAUUGGAUCAAACCGACAUAGAUUGUAUGGUUUAGAUUCAUCCUUUAGGUCGGUGGAGAUCUCCCGCAAAGCAGAGUCCUGAUUAGACUUGGGGGCAGGGUGGGUGCCCAGUAGGACAGGGCGGGCGCCCUGUCUCUGGCCCCAUUUCGCCUCCGCUUCGGUCUCGUGGCUUCUGGAGUCUUCUAGAUGUAAGAUAAUUGCGCAGCACGUUAAUAUCUUUACGUAAUCCCGAAAUGUGGGCCUUUCUAUCAUAUUUCCUGAUAACCCCCUGCAGAAAUAGACAAAUACCAAAACUCGUGGAAUUCUGUCAGAUAAAACCCUAAGUUUGGUUUUGAUUUCAUUUGGAUCCUUUUCUUUAUUUAUUUGAUAAUUAAAUUUGAUACUUAAGGACCGUCAACACUCCACGCAAAUACGUCGGCGUUUGCGCGGAGAAAGUCGACGAGCACCACUUCCUAUUUGGGGUCGAGGCUGGAGCUGAUCCUCAACGCCCGGCCUUCAGAGGUCCCGGGGUCAAGGAAGACUAGCUUGGUCUCCUCUGCUGGCUCAAAGCUCCCGGCGUGGCGCUUGGGGUCGGGGACUUCCUGGUCGCAGUCGCCGAGGCCGGUGAGGAUGGCUAGAGACUCAGCCAGAGCCUCGGCCUGCUCGAUGCACUCGACGUCGCAUUGAUAGGCGUGCUGGCUGGUCGUGCUGACAGUGAUGAUGCCUUUUGGCCCUGGCAUCUUGAGCUUGAGGUAGGUGUAGUUGGGGCCAUGAACUUGGCGUAGCACGGUCGUCCCAAGAUUGCGUGGUAGGUUCCUGGGAACCCGACCAUGUCGAAAGUGAGGACCUCCCAUCUAAAGUUGUCGGGGGUCCCAAAGCAGACGGGCAGAUCGAUCUGCCCGAGGGGGUGGGCACGAUGUCCCGGCACCACUCCGUGGAAUGGCGAAGUGUCGUUCCUCAGCAAGGACUUACUGAUCCUCAUGAGUGCCAGAGUCUCGGCAUAAAGGAUGUUGUGACCGCUUCCUCCGUCCAUCAACACCUUAGUGAGACGAGUCUCGGCGAUGAUGGGGUCGACUAUCAAGGGAUAACCCCCGGGAUUGGGGAUCCGGUCUAGGUGAUCCUAUAGGUCGAACGUGAUUGCGCUCUCGGACCACUAGAGGUACGAGGGCGCGGCCGUGCUGACGGCGCAGACUUCCUGGAAUUCACGUUUCCUCUGACUCGUGGUGAGGCGAGCCGCGUGUCCCCCAAAGAUCAAGAGACAGUUCUAGAUCUUGGGAAAACCUUCCCCUUGAGGGUCGUCGUCCUUGGGGGGCUCUUCAGCACCCUCCUUGGAGAUGAGGUCGGUGUAGUACCGAUGCAGGACAGUGCACUCCUCUAGGGUGUGCUUGGUUGGUCCCCUGUGAUAGGGGCAUGGCUUCUUCAACAUCUCGUCGAAUAGAUCGGGGCCGGCAGGAGCCCGCUUGGGGUUCUUGCGAUCUGCCGCAGCGACCAGAUUGUCGUCCGGCUGGCCCUGCUUCCCCUUGCGGCCUUUCUUCUUCUUCCUGGGGUCACGAGAGCCUGAGGCCUCGGUGGUCUCGGCCUUUUGUUUCCCCUUGGCUGUGCUGUUGGAGAAAAUAGCACCAACUGCCUCUUCGCCUGAGGCAAAGUUGGUGGCGAUGUCGAGCAGCUGGCUGGUGCUCGUGGGGGUCUUGCGACCGAGUUCGUGUACCAGCUCUUUGCAGGUGGUACCGGAGAUGAAGGCCCAGAUGACGUCAGAGUCUGUGAUGUUGGGGAGCUCGGUGCACUGCUUGGAGAAACGCCUGAUGAAGUCUCGGAGGGACUCAUCGGGCUUCUGCCUGCAACUCCUGAGGUCCCAGGAGUUCCCAGGGCACACAUAUGUGCCCUGGAAGUUCCCGACGAAGAUCUUGACCAGGUCGGACCAGUCAUGGAUCAUGCGCUCAGGGAGGUGCUCGAGCCAUGCUCUGGCCGUAUCGGCCAGAUGCAGUGGGAGGUUGCGGAUGAUGAGCAGGUCAUCGUCCGCUCCGCCUAGCUGGCACGCUAGGCGGUAAUCUGCUAGCCAGAGCUCAGGGUUCGUCUCCCCGGAGUACUUGGUGAGGUUGGCGGGCUGUCGGAAUCACGCCGGGAACUUGGCUCUACGUAUAGCCUCACUGAAGACGCGCGGGCCCGGAGGCUCUGGUGAUGUGCUGCGGUCGUGGUAGGGGUCGUAUCUUCCGCCUCAGCGCGGUCGAUAGCGCCGAGACUCGGCCUCUUCCCUGUCACGCCGCCUGGCCUCGAGAGUGGCUCGAACAUCCGCGUCAGCCCCGACACGAUUGUGGACUGAUGGGGCCCUAUUGCCCCCUUGCAGGUUAAGGGCUAACGGGCCCUGUACUGUUGGUGCCUUGUUAGGAGAGGGUCGGUCCUCUUGCCGCCUCGUGCAGUGGGACUGUGAUGCAGAACUUUCCGCGUUCUGCACCACAGCUUGCUCCAGGAGGCCACGUAGCCCCUGGCGCACUCUCCUUCCUUCAGGAGUCGAUGGUUCGGGCAUCGCCCUAAGGAGGAGUGCGGCGGCCAUUACAUUCUGGCUGGCCGUGCUGAAGACCGGGGCGUCUCCCCCUUGGUGACGUCUCGGGCGCGGCGUCUAGUCUCACCUCUGUCUCCAUGGCCAGAUGGGUCUCGGACCAGGCCUCGCGGAGUUGUCGGAGGCGUGCACGUUCUUCUUCGAGUCUGGCCUCUAGCUCAUCGAGCUGCUCGAGGUCAGGGCAAUGUCCCCCUGCGGGGGCUGAUGCUGCCCCGCGGGCUCUAGGAUCGGUUCCCGGAGUCAGGUUAGCUGGUGGACUGGUGUUCCCUUGCCUAGAGGGCCCUAUACCCCCUUGAGCGUUGUGGGGGGCUCCUUCGACCUCAACGUUGAAGCACUCUCUUGAUGGGUCAUAGCUCCCGUCGUCGGAGUCGGAAUAGCCGAGGCAGUAGUUGCUAGCCUCCAAGAAGCGCAUGAAGGUUUCCGGGUCGCCACACCCGGAAAAGUCAACGCCCGCCCACUCAUCAUCGCCCGAGGUAGGGUCCUCUGGGUAUGACGAAACAGGUGGCGAAGCCAGGAGAUCUAGGGUAGACCUGAGAUGGUGCCCUGGAAGUUCCGUGUACGCACUUAAUGAAGUGCUCACGGAAGAGGCGUAAGUGGCGGCCGCGUUCCUGAGUCCAAAAGGGGGCUCAGGAGGCGCCGCUGUCUCUCCUCCAUCCACAGGUGGAGGGGGACGGGACGUUGAGGCCCCUUUAUCCCCCUUCUGGGGAACGGGCGGGAGUCGCACCUUCCCCUUUAGUGGGGGUGGAACAGGAGGUUGUGAUGGUCCCCUGUCGGUUCGUGAAGCGGAGCCUGACGUUCUACGGGCCCUUCCUCUAGCGCGUGUCGAAUCGGAGGAAUGGGCGAUCUGUUGAGGAAUAUGCAGGGGAAGGGCCGGACGGACCCUGGCCUCAGUGGUAGGGUCAGAGAUCCUGGAUCUCUGACGCCCCCGCCGGGCACCCUUCGCAUGGUGUCCCGAGUGCCUCCCACACACUGACUGUGGUGGGAUCGGCUCAGGACGCAGCUCGGUACCACCACGUGGUGGAAGGAGGACCAUGUCAUAGCCGGAGCCGAGGGACAUGAACUCCAAACUCCCAAACAUCAUGAUGGUGCCAUGGCGAAGUGGGUGAGACCCGUCUGCCAUCCACGCCUUCCCAGUAGGGAUUGGGGAAUGUCAAGCAAAAGGCCCCUACCUAGCGCGCCAAUUGUCAGCGUCUAGACUCGUGGUCUAGACACAAACGGGUGAGAGUAUGCGUGACUACCUAAGCCUGGAUGGUGAUGCAAGUGAAACACAGAGGGUUUAUACUGGUUCGGGCCUGGAAUGCCCUACGUCCAGUGAGAUCGGGGAUCUGUAUAGCCUUUGUUGGGUAUUCUUAACAUCAUUACUAAAAGUAGACUAAGUUCUCUAAAUCUAGUAACGGUGCCAAAAAUGCCAAACCUAUCCCUUACACCACUUAAGCCAAGUUGUCAUCCCCAGCAUGAUAUAAGAGACGCGGUAUUGAAAUAUGCAAUUGCUCUUCUAAAUAAAUAAUGAAUGGGAUCUGCAAGCGCACAGAUUAAUACCGAUGUAGCAUUUUAACCGGGAAGUAUUCCAGGUAUCGUUAUUUAUAUUUUUACCACUGGGAAGGGAUUAGAAAUCAUCACUAAUGAUUACAGAAUAGAAUAUGAGAUUGAGCAUCUAUCAUUGCAUGUAUAAUUGAGAACAUUAUAUCUAACUCAUCAUACAGGGAUAAGUGUCACAUAAAAGAUAUAUGAAAUAAUAAUAGUGAUAAGGAUAACUAAUCUGAUCUAGCACCUCAAUUAGAUACUCUAGAAAGUCAUUAGCAUGGUAUUAGAACGAACUACAAGAAUAUUCCCUAAGUUAUUCUUAACUAUAUAGUCUAGCAUUAUCAUAAUUAGUGCAAGCAUACUUAGCAAUCAUUGCAAGACAAGACUACGCCCAUGCAUAGUGAUAUUAGCAAGGAAUAUGAGAAACAUAGCAAUCACUCCCCUGUAAUAAUGUUGCUCUGUCAGCCCAAUACACGAGAGGGGGACUAUAUAAGAAUCAAUGAAGCUGUCACUAUCACGAACCACCCCACGAUCUGGCAUAUUGGGUACAAUCGCAGAUAAAUACGGUAUAAGCACCACGCCUACACAAUAUCUAUCAUUUACCCAUGGAUCCAAUGGAUAAACGCUAUACGAUCCUAAGCAUGUAUAUAGAUCGUAUCUAACUAAGCCAAGUACAUAACUAUGAUAAACUAAGAACAAUAUAAUCUUGAAUAUAAGCAAGUAGAGCAAAGUCAUAAGCAAUAUAUUGAAGUAGAACAAAGUCAUAUUCAUAAUAUUGAAGAACAAAGAUAAUUAGAGAGCAAUUAGAAACACAAUUAGAGAAUUACCAAGAAUCCUCCUGACAGAUCUGGAAACCAAUCGAAGAUUGACUGCUUCUAGUUCUAAUCCUAUGUAGCUAUGCUAAUCUAGAUAUCUAAUUGAUGUGGUGGCUCUAAUCUCGAUCAGAGGCUUCUUCUCCCUUGAUGGAACAAUGAAUUAGGGUUGAGAGGCUCUCUCCUCCAGGGGCCAGGGGGUCUGGUUUUAUAGUCCCUUCAAGUGAAUAUGGGCCCUUGGAUCAAACUGACAUAGAUUGUAUGGUUUAGAUUCAUCCUUUAGGUCGGUGGAAACUUCCCGCAAAGCAGAGUCCUGAUUGGACUUGGACAGGGGGCGGGCGCCCAAUAGGACAGGGCGGGCGCCCUGCCUCUGGCCCCGUUUCGCCUCCGCUUCGGUCUCGUAGCUUCUGGAGUCUUCUAGAUGUAAGAUAAUUGCGCAGCACGUUAAUAUCUUUACGUAAUCCUGACAUGUGGGCCAUUCUUCCAUAUUUCCUGAUAACCCCCUGCAGAAAUAGACAAACACCAAAACUCGUGGAAUUCUGUCAGAUAAAACCCUAAGUCUAUGUAACAGAACCGACCAAAUUAUAAGAGAUUAAGCCUAAUAGUGACCAUUUGCAUAGUCGAACCAUCACGCUUAAGCCCAUAUAAUCCCGGUAGUCCGUGAAAUCUCGAAGGAUUUCAAACCACACAUCGCAUACAGCCAAGAUCGUAAUAAGUUUAGCGGCCGCCAUCCAUAAGUACAUUCAGAUUUCAACAUUCAUGAAACACAUCGGAGUACUUAAGUUAUUACAAACCAAGUUCUUCAAGUAGCGGAAGCUUCAUAGUUCGAAAUUACAACACACACGAUAAGUCUGAUACCGUGCCAUAGUUUGGUCAUUCCCACAAAAGCAAAGGAAGAGACAGAGUGACCAUCGCCCUUGGUCUAGUCAUCACCCAUAGCUGGGUACAGACAGAGGAUGCAAUAACCAUAGAACAUGUGACCAUCUGCAAAACAACAUGGGAAUAGAACCCUGAGUACGAGAAGGUACUCAGCUAGACUUACCCGCCAUAAACUUAAAAUAAAGACUCAUCAAGGAUCAUGAAGGCUAUUUAGUGGGGUAGCUGACAACCAUUUUGCAAAGACCGCAAGGUUUUAUUACCCUAACCUACAUAAAUCUUUUCUUCUUUUAAUCUGCUCAAGUUGAAAGUAUCAUUACCUAUUAUCUAGGUUUGCUCCUGUGCUAUUACAAGCAAGUAUGAGACUAUGAUAGUACCUCAUCAUAGCAUUUCUUAAACCAUUCAUCAUUAUAACCCGAGUGUUCCAUAGUCCUUACUACGAGGACGAAGCUCAUGUCAAGUGCUCACUAUCCAGGAGCGAUGGCAAUUCGAAUCGAUUUCUAACCAGCUGGCGAGGUAUUCUCCACACAAACCACACUCACUGAUCAAGUGAGCUACAGAUCACCGUAUUACACUAUCCAGGACCAAUUCGCGGGUUCGGCAGGCACCGCCAGUACCCGAGGACCGUUCCGGCGACCGAGGUAUCCAAGGUAUACCAAGUGUUGACACCGUUUUUGGGCACGUGUCUAGGAUGGCAGGAUAAGGUGGCAGUACGAUGUUUACAAAGUGGGUUGCCGAUGAGGAUGGUUGCCGAUGAGGGAGAAGUUGAACGUGACUAAGUCCACAUGCAGUAAUAUGGUGCCGAUGGCUAGAUAAGAAAGUCUGCCGAUGACUAUGGCAAAGGGUUUGCCGAUGAUGCAAAGAGGGAGUCCGGAAGCUGCCGGUCGUUAUGUGGAGGAGUUUCGGUUUGUCACGAGGGAUAGUUUUGUUAUUUCCUUAGUUAUUUGCAUCAUUUUGUAUACGGAUUCCGUGUAAUUUGGAAUUCGAAUUCUAAUCGUGUCUGGUUGUAGCUCUUUGAGCAGGGUAUAAAUAUAGACCCUAGGGCCUUGUAAUAAAAAAUCAAUCAAUGAAUCAAACACACGUUUUUACUCAUAUUCCAGAAUUUACUUUUCGACGACUUCGUCAUACUUUUUCCUUUUGUUACGAGUUCUUAGGAAUUCGUCGACUUAAGCUCGGCGUGUUCUCAAGUUCCGCGUGAGUACCUCUUAGCCGUGACAUCCGGGCGCAUCGCUGUUGUCAGGACUAAAGUAUUCGAGUUAUCACCUUUGCCGAUAGCAAGGUCAAAUCGGCUGGCACGCCUUAACGUUUGAAUCGGGUAUUAGCCCUUUGUGUUUGCAGAUCAGUUUUGCAUCAACACAUCUUUUGGCACGCCCAGUGGGACAGGAUUCAAGAUCAAGAUCAACAUGUCGAUCUCUGACCUCGAUCAAGAGAACGUCAUCCCCGUGACGGAGGCCAACCUCAAGGAUGAGCAGAAGCAAGCUAUUGCCCAAGCCAUGGAAGAGUUCAAGCAGCAAUGCCUGAGGUCUUUCAGCAUAAACAGGAGCGGCGAAGUGGUCUAGAAAGAUGCACUGCCGGCACCACGGCAGGUUACCUUUGACGCCAAUCCUGGCAAGCUUCAAGAUAUGGUUGACAAUGCCAUCAAUCGAGCAUUGAUUAACCAAGCUGGUGUACUGUCUAAUACGGUUUUCAAUGCCGUGGCAAGAACUUUCAAGGAAGGACAAAUUCCACCAGAUUAUGUGGGCCCCUCCCAUCAUCAGCCAACGGCACCAGAGGUCACGGCUCCAUCGGCUGCCUUGACGACUGCAAGUGCACAAUCUGCCGUCCCUCCAAGUACAUCGGGGACUACUGGUGCACUAUCUAUGCCGAUGACAACCAACCCACAAAUUUCAGUUGGGCAGCAUAAACUGACAACAGAUAUGUUGGCAUCGGCAAUGUCAGGGUUGACUCUUCCUUCCAACUGGUGGGGUUACGGUAUGCCUCCAGAGUUGACACCGGGAACAUCACAAAUAACUGACAUGAGGGGCAAAACUCCUAUGACAUCGGCACCUCCCAAUGCGCCGGUGAACUAGAGUCCUCGGUACACCACAACUACUACUGCAAGGCCUCACACUGGAAAUCCUCAAGAUUCAAUGUUCCAGAUGCCCAACGCAUCGGCAGAGUCAAUGCUGAUGCAACAGAGGUCUAUGGCCCAGUCGGGGUAUGUCAAUUCAACGACGGUACCCAAUUACCAAUCAUCGGCAGCACCUAUGCCGAUGAACGCUAAUAAUGGAUGGCUUGGAUAGCAAGCCUUUCCACAAUUGCCCCAGCAGAGUUACCCGACUACAGGGUUCCAGCAAGGGCAGGUCUAUCCCGGGUUCCAAGGUCAGGGGAUUCCCAACCAGCCAAUGAAUUUUGGACAGCAACUCGGAGGACAGCCAAUCGGUGGACAGCAGUUUGGUGGUCCGCAGAUUGGAGGACAGGUGAUCAAUACAAUGUUCCGUGCAGAUCACGUCCCGAACAGACACGUGGAGGUUCGCCACCAAGUGCCAGAUCGGCAGCCGCCUCAUCGGCAAGAUGCCGAUGCAUAUUGGGCCGAUAAGAUUGCUGAAGUAAUGAGGGAACAAUUUGGGAUAAAACCCAAAGUCAACACUUAUUCUUAUCGGACACCGUAUCCUCCCGCGUAUGAUUUGAUCCCGCUUCCACAUCGGUACAAGGUACCGGAUUUUACAAAGUUUUCCGGGCAGGACGACACGUCAACCAUGGAGCAUGUCAACAGGUUCAUCAUUCAAUGUGGAGAGGCUGGUAACAGGGACGAAUUGAGGGUUCGUCUAUUUUCAUCAUCAUUGUCUGGAUCGGCCUUUACUUGGUUCAUAUCAUUACCUCCCAACUCAGUAAUUACUUGGGCCGAUCUAGAGAAGCAAUUCCACAAAUACUUCUUCUCGGGGGUUCAUGAGAAGAAGAUCACCGACUUGGUCAAGUUGAGGCAACGUAAUGAUGAGUCGGUUGAGGGUUUUGUGCAGAGGAUACGAGAGGUCAAGAAUAAAUGCUAUAGCUUGGUUCUGGAUGAUCGGCAGCUAGCCGAUUUGGCUUUCCAGGGUUUGUUGCCACAUAUCAGGGAUAAGUAUGCCUCUCAGGAGUUCGAAAGUUUAAGUCAUUUGGUGUAGCGGAUUUCUGAUCAAGACAUCAAGCCUUUCGAGCCUAAAAGAGCAUGGAAUAGGAAAGUGUCAUUUGUCAAUGAAGCAACAAGCUCAGAUUCUGAUGAAGAACCAGUAAUCGGCUUGGCAGAGUGGGUAAAAAACAAGAAGCCGAUGUCUUGUCCUUUUGGGCAAAAGGAACCAGAGAAGUUUGCUUUUGACACCGCUAAGGCUGAUAGGAUAUUUGACUUUCUACUUCAGGAAGGUCAGAUCAAACUGUCACCUAACCAUGUGAUCCCAUCGGCAGAAGAGUUGAAGAGGAUGAGAUAUUGCAAGUGGCAUAAUGCAACUUCCCAUGACACCAACGAGUGCAAAGUAUUCAGACAGCAGCUGCAAUCGGCUAUAGAGUCAGGGAGAAUCAAGUUUGACAGUUCCAAAGCCCAGAAGCCGAUGAAGAUAGACCAACAUCCUUUCCCGACAAACAUGUUGGAUGCUAAGGGGAAGGCUAAGGUCUUAACAUCGGAGACAGCUGAGAAGAGUGCAUCGGUAGAUCCUCAGCAUCAAGUUACUACUGCCGAUGCAAGAAGUAAGGGCUUGGUCCAGGAAGGAACUAGCUCAGGAAGGCCUCCUCGAUCUGGUAUCGUCAUAACUCAUAGAAGGCCUCGAGAAAAAUGGCAACAACGGGAAGAUCGGUAUCGGCGCCAGCAGGAAGAUUAUCGACGGGAAGAAGAAAGACGCCGACAGGAGUGGAAUCGGCACAGGGAUCAUUGGAAUUGUCCAUUCUUCAUCCAUUGUUGGGAGGAAAAUAUCAAGCUUCCUACUGUCAGAGACUGCCCUGAGUGCAAUGGUUAUGAUCGGUACGAUGGGAUCGAUCGGCAUUAUCAUGAUGAUGAACGGCGAUUUAAUGGGCCGAUCAGAGGAAGGGUGUCAGUUCAUGACCGGCUGGGGGGCAGAUUUAGUGGGCACGACAGACUUAGUGACCGUGUCCAGUAUUUUCCCAGGAACCAAGAAGAGCUCGAGGAAAUGGCUGAUGCGCGGGUUCCCGAUGAAUUCAUAUUUUGCAGGGAUGCUAACACGCAUCGUAUGGAGUCAAGGGAGAACCGACGCCCGACGGCAAGGCAAAGGCCACUUCCUCCAUGGUGCCCUGGAGGAUUAACCAAGACACAGAAAAGGAGAUUGCAACGUGAAAGGCAAGAAGAGCUAAACAAGGGAGAGAACUCUGGAAGUCGGCAGCCGUCAGACACUAAGAGGGAAGGUCCAUCGGCAGGCGUCAACAUGGUCUUCAUGUUGCCGAUGGAGUUUCUUGCACCAGCCAGUGAUGAUGAGUUGGAAUUUUCUGAUCAGAUAGCUCAGUUGGCUCUGGAUCCGAUGACGGCUAUCUUUGAGAAACCUGCCGAUGACGAGAGGCAGCAUCUUAAAGCUCUGUUCCUUAAGGGAAGGGUUGAUGGGCAGCCAAUGACCAAGAUCCUAGUUGAUGGUGGAGCUGCUAUUAAUAUUAUGCCGUAUGCAGUAUAUCGGAAGCUUGGGAAAGGGGAUCAAGAUUUGACCAAGACCGAUAUGAUGCUCAAAGACUUUGAAGGAAACGUGUCUCCAGUCAAGGGGGCGAUAUGUGCAGAGUUGACCAUCGGCAGCAAAACCUUGCCGACAACUUUUUUCGUGAUCAGCGAAAAAGGUGCUUACAACUUAUUAUUGGGAAUAGAUUGGAUUCAUGCCAAUUGUUGUAUCCCAUCUACAAUGUAUCAAUGCUUGGUUCAGUGGGUAGGUGACAAGAUUGAGAUUGUCCCAGGAGAUUCUUCUUAUGUUAUCGCAUCGGCAGAAGCGGAUACUUACGAAAGGACCAGGUGCAUUUCAGGAGAAGUUUGGGAGAAAGAUUUUCUCAAAGUUGCCGAUUAUGAGAUUCCACCGAUCCAAGCAGUCGGUUCUGAUGACAGUUUUUAAUGGAUAGAUUCGCCGAUGAUGGAAAAUUAGGCCAGGGAUUCACAUCGGCCGAUGAUUUGGUAGAAGUAGAUAUAGGUAGUGGUGAUAAGCCUAGGCCUACUUUUAUUAGUGCUAAAUUAGAUCCUGAGAGUAAGCAACAAUUGACUAGUUUGUUAAAGGAAUAUAAAGAUUGCUUUGCUUGGGAUUAUACCGAGAUGCCUGGUUUAGACCGAUCAAUUGUUGAACAUCGGUUACCCAUCAAGUCUGGAUUUCGGCCACAUCAGCAACCAGCCCGCCGAUGUAAUCCUAACAUUCUACCUGAUAUUAAGGCCGAAAUCACCAAACUUAUUGAAGCUAAGUUUAUUCGGCAGUGUCGGUAUGCCGAGUGGAUUUCCAAUGUUGUUCCGGUUUACAAGAAGAACGGGAAGCUUCGGGUGUGCAUUGAUUUCAGGAAUCUCAAUAAAGCUACGCCGAUGGAUGGAUACCCAAUGCCUGUCGCUGAUCUACUGGUUGAUGCUGCGGCUGGUCAUCAGGUCAUCAGCUUCAUGGAUGGUAAUGCAGGUUACAAUCAAAUAUUCAUGGCGGAGGAGGAUAUUCCAAAAACCGCAUUCAGGUGUCCUGGUCAUGUUGGGCUAUUUGAAUGGAUAGUCAUGACUUUUGGGUUGAAGAAUGCUGGUGCUACCUAUCAAAGGGCUAUGAAUUUUAUAUUUCAUGAGUUCAUCAGCAAGCUCGUGGAGAUUUAUAUUGAUGAUGUGGUGGUUAAGUCUGGAGAUUUCUCAAAGCAUCUUGCCGAUUUACAAAAAGUGUUAGAGUGCACAAGGAAGCAUGGAUUGAAGAUGAAUCCCAACAAGUGUGCAUUUGGUGUAUUGGCAGGGCAGUUUCUUCGUUUCAUGGUACAUCAGAGGGGUAUUGAAAUUAGUCGAAGAUCUAUUGAUGCCAUCAAUAAAAUAGUGGCCCCUACCAACAAAACCGAGCUCCAAUCCUUGAUCGGCAAGGUAAAUUUUAUCAGGAGAUUUAUAUCGAAUUUGUCUGGUAGGAUUCGUGCUUUCAGUCCUCUUCUUAAAUUGAAAGCCGAUCAAGAGUUUAUUUGGGGAGAAGAACAGCAGUUGGCUCUGGAUGAAAUCAAGAAGUAUCUAGUAAAUCCUCCAGUUCUAUUUCCACCUCAACAAGGGAAGCCCUUCAGAUUGUAUUUAUCUACCGAUGGAUCGGUUAUCGGUUCAGCUUUAGUUCAAGAAUUUGAAGGGAAAGAAAGGGUAAUUUAUUAUUUGAGUAGGAGGUUGAUUGAUGCUGAAACCAGGUAUUCGGCCAUUGAGAAACUAUGCUUAUGCUUAUAUUUUUCAUGUAUCAAGCUGAGACAUUACCUGUUAUCGGCCAAAUGCACUGUUGUUUGCAAAGAUGACGUGGUCCGAUACAUGCUAUCUAUGCCGAUUAUGAGUGGUAGGAUCGGUAAAUGGAUUUUAGCGCUGUCGGAGAUCGAUUUGCGUUACGAAUUGGCUAAGGCAGUCAAAGGGCAGAUUAUGGCCGAUUUUGUGACUCAGCAUUGUGGUCUAGUGGAAACCUUGGAAAUUGUACCCUGGACGCUCUUCUUUGAUGGAUCUACCUGUGACCGGGGGGCAGGAAUCGGCAUUGUAUUAGUUUCCCCUAAGGGGAGGAAGUAUGAGUUUUCCUUGCCGAUUGUUGCCACAUCAACAAAUAAUCAGGCUGAGUAUCAGGCUCUGAUCAAGGGAUUGGAGUUGUUAAGAGAAGUUCAUGUUGAUGCUGUUGAAAUAUUCGGGGAUUCUAUGUUGGUUAUAAAUCAAUUGGCCGGAAGCUAUGAAUGCCGAAGUGAAGUUCUCAUAACUUAUUUCGAGAGAAGUAUGCAACUGUUAAAGGAAUUCAAGGAUUUCUGAUUGGAGCAUGUUCCCCGAUUGCAUAAUGAAGACGCUAAUCGGUUAGCUCAGCAUGCCUCGGGAUAUCAGCCAAUGAUUAAUGCGACAUCGGCAGUCGGUGCCGGUGAUUGGAGGAAAGAAAUUAUUGAUUAUCUAAAAGAUCCAUCCAAAAAAGUUGAAAGACGGGUUCGAUUUCAAGCAACCAAGUAUGUGCUCCUUGAAAAUGAAUUGUAUUAUCGAACUAUCGACAGAAUUCUUCUCCGAUGCUUGGGUGAUGAUGAAGCUAGAAGUUUGAUGGGGGAAAUCCAUGAAGGAGUGUGUGGAGCGCAUCAGUUAGCUUUUAAGAUGAAGUGGAUGAUUCGAAGGAAUGGAUAUUUUUGGCCAACCAUACUUGAAGAUUGUUUUAAAUAUUUCAAGGGAUGUCAAGGUUGUCAAAAGUUUGGUAAUAUCCAGAGAGCACCCGCAUCGGCUAUGAAUCCUAUAAUAAAGCCUUGGCCGUUCCGGGGAUGGGCCAUCGAUCUGAUCGGCCAGAUUUAUCCACCAUCUAGCAAAGGGCAUAAGUUCAUUCUAGUUGCCACUGACUAUUUCACUAAGUGGGUUGAAGCUAUUCCUUUGAAGAAAGUCACAUCGGCCAAUAUGAUUGAUUUUGUGAAGGAGCAUAUUAUUUACCGAUUUGGGAUUCCCCAAACGAUUACUACCGAUCAGGGCACCAUGUUCACAUCGGGGGAGUUCGAUGAAUUCGCAAUCGGUAUGGGAAUUAAAGUGUUGAAUUCUUCUCCUUAUUAUGCUCAAGCCAAUGGGCAGGCCGAAGCGUCUAACAAAGGAAUUAUCAAGCUUGUUAAACGAAAGAUUGAAGAAAAUCCUAAGCGGUGGCAUACAUUAUUAAAUGAAGCAUUGUGGUCUUAUCGGAUGGCUUGUCAUGGAUCGACCAAAGUAUCACCCUAUCAAUUGGUGUAUGGACAUGAUGCAGUGUUGCCUUGGGAAAUUAAGGCUGGAUCUAGGCGAUUAUCUUUUCAAGAUCAAUUAACUUCCGAUGGUUAUGCCACUUUGAUGACCGAUGAAUUGGACGAUCUAGCAGGGCAUCGGUUAAAAGCUUUAAUGAGUAUAGAAGAAAAUAAGAAGAGAGUUGCUAGAUGGUAUGAUAAGAAAGUGAAGGCUAAAGAGUUUGCCGAUGGGGAUUUGGUAUGGAAAUUAAUUUUACCAAUUGGGACCAAAAGUUCGAAGUUUGGAAAGUGGUCUCCUAAUUGGGAGGGUCCUUAUCGGAUAAGUCGAUCGGCUCCUGGUAAUGCCUACAUUCUAGAAACCCUCGAAGGAAUUGAAUUUCCCAGAGCAUUAAACGGCAAAUAUUUAAAGAAGUACUACCCCAGUAUAUGGGUCGAUGCAUAGAAGUUUAGGUGCCGAUAACACUCCUAUCGGCUGGAUCCAAAUGCUUGGGGACAACACUUGGUGUUUCAAAAGUUUAGGUGCCGAUAACAGUCCUAUCGGCUAGACUAAAAGCUGAGGAAGCAGGAAAGCGCAGAUACAAUGCCGAUGGAAACUCUAUGUGUUAAGCAGCGUCUGGAUUGCCGAUAUAGCGCGUAGCCGAAUUUGGUUGGCUGCUUCUAUCUCCUUGAUGUCAUCAUCGGCAGAACCUUCUAUCGGCUUCAGCUUCUUCUUCAGUUGAAGUGCCUUGCGACCAUGAGCAUUUCGCUCGUGCUCAAGAAGCCUGAUGGUCUCUGGCAAUUGGCUCUCUUCCGGUUGGGCUUGGGACAGAGCGUUCUCUACUUCCUUGAGCUCCGCCAACAGGGAUUCUUUUCUUGCCGAUAGAUCGGAUAUCUUCUGCUUCAGCGCGUCUCCAGAAGAUCUCAGGAUACCGAUGUUCUUGCGCUUCUCAUCGGUCAAAAGCUUCUCUUUCCUCAUUUCAUCAGAGAGUUGAGUCUGAGCGGCUCUAUCGGCAAGCCGCCGAGAAGCUCUUUGGUACUGCAGCUGGCGACUCUCCAGAUGAGCGGCUUGGAACAGGAUUUCUUCAACAUCGGCUGGGAUUUGGCCUCUGAGAGUUCUGAACAGGGUCUUGGUAGGGUCGGAAUCAUCAACCAAUUGCGCUGUGUCCUGGUGAAGGAGAGCUGACAAUUCUUCCAGCCUGACCCUGAUCUCUGCCGAUGUGAUGCCGACCGUCUGAGAAGAGCUUGCUUCUUCACCUUCUUCUUCAGAGAGAUCGAUGGUGAAGGAGAACAGGCUAUCGGGAGAAUCUUGUUCCUGGGAGGGAAAGCAAAAUUAGCUCAUACUCAGAGAAUCGGCAAAUAGUGCUAACGGUAAACGGUGACUUACUUGCUUCAAGGCGAUCUCUUGUCUUUGACUGAGAAGUGCUGACGGAGCUGCAGGCUGAUCGGCCAAAGAUGCCGAUGGAGCUACAGGUUGAUCGGCUGAGAUUGCCGAUGGAACGAUAUCAACUAAAAGAAGACAAAAGGAGUUAUGAGACUAAAUAAGAAUAAGUUCAUCGGUAGCGAUAUUGUUAAAGUAUGUUACCUGGAGGAGGGACAACGGUUGUCUGAAUCGGGAGAACUGCCGAUGGUAUAACUGGACCCACCGGGCCAGUUGUUUGUUCACCCAUGUCAGCUGAUGUAUCUUCUGUUUGAGAUCCUUCCUGUUGGGGUUCUUCUAUCUGUGGUGCUUCCUGCAUAGGUGGGGGAGAUGGUGCUUGCUGCGGCUGGGCUUCUGGAGAAGAAGGAGAAGACUCCACCGGAAUUGGAGAUACCGGAGGAGGAGGGGGAGUUGCUACCUUCUAGCGCUUUGUUCCAGUCUUAGCACCCGUGGUGCCCUUUCUCUUGGGUUGGCUAGACUGGGGGGCAUCGGUACUCUUACACCUGGCUUUCGCCGAUGCGCCGGUUUGCUGCAAUAAUGAACAAGACUUUAUAAGCAUAAAUAUUGCCGAUAUAAAGAUAGUCAGCAUAAAGGAAAAGAUUUGACAAAUUGCCUUGAAAGCCCGCGCAAGAGUGGGAGCAGCAACCGUUGGUGAUGUCUGGGUUCUUCUGGUGGUGACUUUCCUGAGGCGUACACCCCGAUGCACGAUGGAAGCUAGAGUGGGAGCAUUGUGGCCGAUUGAGGAAAUCGGGCCUGAUGGAAACAAGUCGAUCGGCCUGCCACUCCUGCUAACCAAUGGAGGAAUAUUGUCAACCUGCAAAAGGAAUACAAGGGUAAGCUGCCGAUGGAGGUAAUAUUGAGAAAAUGAAACGUUGGUUUGAGUUACUUACAGUGUCAUCGGGAACUUCGUAUUCGGAGUCAAUCAUGCCGCGGUAUGAAAGUGCCGAUCUGCAGAAUAGAUGCUCUUUCCAUUCUGCCCACCAUAACUUGUAUGCCUGAGUGAUAAAAGCAGCCGGAACCCAUUCUGACAGAUCUACAUCUAUAUCGGCGUUUGGUGGUAGUUGGGCUGCUCGAGUCCACUCAAGAAGGUUGUUGAUAGUUUCUCUGGGUUUUAUCACAUCGGCAUAAGGAAGUGCAAUCGGCAACUGGCCGAAAGCUAACUGGCGAGCUAAUGCCGAUGGAUUGUAAAAUUCGUAAGUUUGAGGGGAGGUUUUUGUGCUACCAAAGAAAUUCACUGGAAUGAUUCUGGGAGUCACAAUUGCCAUCAUCACCUCAUUGUCCCUGUCGAGAGCUUCAUCAAAUGGAUUGAAGGUCAGAGGGAGCAUGCUAUCUGGGUCAUCAUAAGCCAACCAUGGUCGUUCGUCUCUGGUCAAACCCUCAUACAGAGUCUGGAAGAAUCGGCCGAUCUGAUCUGGAUUACCCCCUGAACCAGGCAGAACUAUGACAGCUUCGCCAAAGUUCAAGGGGGCGCGUGUUGCCGAUUCCUCUUCACCCAAUACAAGGUUUUCAGCUAUAUCUCUUGGGAAACGCUGUGUGAACAGGUUGAAGUUGAGACGCUUGUGCAGAUGCAGAUUGAGCCACAUGUUGACAAACCACCAGGGGCCUCCCAAGUUGCCAGUGGAUUGGCCGAGCAGAAGUUUCUGGGCUACUUGAUGGAGAAGGUGGUAAGCAGCGCCAAGCAAGUAUCGGCCGAGAGGGAAUCGGCCACCGUUAGCCAGUCUUUCUGCUGCCGAUAGGUAGACAGAAGUCGGUCCUGCCGAUUGACCACAGAAUACAAACUUGUCCAGCCACAUGUUCAGAAAGGUGGUUUGUUCCUUUAUGGUGACAGAUCCUUUCCCACGGUACUUUUGAAUGUACCCCGACCAACCGCCGAUAGCGCGAGUCUCCACUUUGGCACUAGGGGCAGUAUCAAAAAAGUGGGUGCUAUCGGCAGAAGAUAUAUCUAGACCAGUAAGCAUGGCUACAUCGGCAAGAGUAGGAGAAGCAGGGCCGUGGCCAAAGGCAAAAGCAUUGAGGGUGUCUAACCAAAAGUAGGAUGCAGCUAUCAGCAGUGACUCGUUCCUAUGCAUAUCGGCAAUGGACAAUCUAAUGCAUUGGGCUAGAUUCCUUUCACCCCACUGAACUUCAUUAGAGUUGCUGACCCUCAAGAACCAGUCUUUCCACCCUACAGUUGGGCUGGGCCAAGAGCGGAAGGUGUCCUUCCACAGAUCUAAGGAAAAAUUUUCGGCUCUGAAGGGGAUCCUGUUGGUUUCUGCGUUGAUAAGGUCAGUUGGAUCUGGGUCCCCUAGAGAGCCGAGGCAUUGAAGGUGUGGUUGAUCGGUGGGGAUGACAAUUUUGUUGGACAAUUCCUAGUGAUUUUGGGCAUAAAAAGAAAUACAAAGAGGAAAGAAAAGGAAGAUGUUCAGUAAAAUGAAUUGCGAGUGAACAGGGAUAUGAAGAAAAAUACAGAAGACGGGGUGGAGAUUUGACCUCAGGGACGACGAACCCGACGGCCAUCUUGCUGCGAAGGAAGCGUGUGAAGGCACCAGAGUUGGUGAAGAGGGGUACUUGUCGGAGACCUUAGGAGUUUUUGGUGGCGCCGCCGCUGGGAAAGUAAAGUUGGGUAGUAGAAUGGUGUGAUGGGGAAGGAGUACCCAAGAAGGAACUAUUUAUAGGACAAAAUGGGCAAGGGCAAACCCGACUUAUCUCUUUGCCGCAUCCGAGAAAUCCGAGGGUACUCAGGUGGAUAUGGUAACUGUUCGCACGGUAAUCCAGGGAUUGUGCAGGUGAUUUGACGGGAAGCGGUCAUUAUCUGAAGAUUUUACUGUGCGAGAUCUCCUGGUCGGUCCAUCGGCAAUAUUCUAUAACGGUCAUAUUGCCGAUGGGCGGAUAGAGGGGAAGUAACCGUUUGUGCGAAUAUCCUGGUCAGAACAUCGGCAGAUCUUUGUAACGGUAUUGUUGCCGAUGUACGACUGAGAAAAAUGCCCGUUUAGGAAGUUGGGGAUUUCGAGGAAUCUGCGGAGGAAUAGGAUCAGAGUUGUUCAGAUUGAGGUUGUCGGUUAGCAGAUUAGGAGCAUUAAUUGCGGGAAAAGGCAUCAUUACUGCAGAGAAUUUUGGAGCAUUAAUAGUUUUAUACUCCGAAACUGGGGGGCAUGUGUUGACACCGUUUUUGGGCACGUGUCUAGGAUGGCAGGAUAAGGUGGCAGUACGAUGUUUACAAAGUGGGUUGCCGAUGAAGAUGGUUGCCGAUGAGGGAGAAGUUGAACGUGACUAAGUCCACAGGCAGUAAUAUGGUGCCGAUGGCUAGAUAAGAAAGUCUGCCGAUGACUAUGGCAAAGGGUCUGCCGAUGAUGCAAAGAGGGAGUCCGGAAGCUGCCGGUCGUUAUGUGGAGGAGUUUCGGUUUGUCACGAGGGAUAGUUUUGUUAUUUCCUUAGUUAUUUGCAUCAUUUUGUAUACGGAUUCCGUGUAAUUUGGAAUUCAAAUUCUAAUCGUGUCUGGUUGUAGCUCUUUGAGCAGGGUAUAAAUAUAGACCCUAGGGCCUUGUAAUAAAAAAUCAAUCAAUGAAUCAAACACACGUUUUUACUCAUAUUCCAGCAUUUACUUUUCGACGACUUCGUCAUACUUUUUCCUUUUGUUACGAGUUCUUAGGAAUUCGUCGACUUAAGCUCGGCGUGUUCUCAAGUUCCGCGUGAGUACCUCUUAGCCGUGACAUCCGUGCGCAUCGCUGUUGUCAGGACUAAAGUAUUCGAGUUAUCACCUUUGACGAUAGCAAGGUCAAAUCGGCUGGCACGCCUUAACGUUUGAAUCGGGUAUUAGCCCUUUGUGUUUGCAGAUCAGUUUUGCAUCAACACCAAGGUUGGGCGCCGCGCCCUCGUCGUUCUCCUCAACCACCACCAAUACAACGCAUGGCGGCUCGAUUCCCGGCCCGGAUAGUGUUCAGGCUUCGCGGUCGGAACGACUUAUCCUUCCAGCUAAGUGUGGGGCAUGCGUUCAACAUGACAAGAGGGCCGUCAACGAUCGGUCCUUAAUCGACACAGGCAGGGGCACCAUGGUCAACCCACCAUAAGACCCUGCCCGGUCUCCAAAUUCAUUCCACACUUGGCUAUGCUUUUCCCCGAGCAACCAAUGCUUAAACAAGCAGGUAUCCACCUAUGUCUCGCAGGUGACAGGGAAUCACCCGACUUCUACCGAACUAAGCAAGCUAAGCAUAGACUCCGUGCCUAUCUACAUAGGACAAGGUAGUUGAAUGAGUAGGAAUAACAAGGAGUACUCAUGCAGCAACGGUAUCAGGCAACUCCUAUCACUUAAUAUGCACUAUAGUAGAACAAGUAUAGCACUUUAUAUAAGUUAGCGAGAAUAGGGAGACUUAGAAUGCUCCGGGGCUUGCCUUUCUCAAACGUGCUGGGUCGGUGAUCCGGACACUCUUGCAAUUCCUCUCCGGGUUCCUGUGCUUUCAGAGGAUCCUGCUCCUGUAUCUCCUCGGGUUCCUCGGGUCCCACUUCGUUCUCCUGCGAGCCUAUAUGAUGCAUAUAUGCUCAUGAGUGGAGUGUGAGAUGCCCGAGUGGAUGCUUGUAAGAGAGAGUGUCAAAGGAGUCAUGUUAUGAUGCAUAGGUGAUGCACUUGGUCACGCUUAUUACAAGGUAGUCAACAUCAUCCGGGAACAAUAACUAAAUUAAGCAUCUGUUGCAUUCUCUUCUACAGAUAUUUUUCAAAUGCAACCAGCAACCCCCAUGAUGCUUCAAAGAUACACCAAACCCAACUUAUUCCAUUCAACCUAUAUAUAUACACCCUUCAUAGUUUUCUUUAUUCAUUUCUAAGCCCAUUAAAAAUCAAAUGCAAUUCUGUUCAUCAAUAAAUUCGACAAAAAUUACAGGAGACUACCAGCUAAGCAUAAAGUCUACUGUAAAUUAUUCAUGAUUUUUGGAUACUUAUUUUGAGCCACAAAAAAAAAAUUACAAGAUUAAUUAAUAAGGCAAGUAAAAUCACUCUACUAGGAUACAAGUGUUAAACAACAGAUUUCAUAUUUUUACAAUUUGCAUAAUAUCAUAAGAAACACCCACAAAAUUUUCCAGAUUUAUUGCAUGACCCAAUUAAUUAUUAAAAAUCAUAAAUCACUGCCAUGCAAGCAUUUAAAUUACCAUAAAUUCAUUUAUACACCAAAUAAUAUGUACCCACUUUUUCCCAGUGAGCAAACACACAUGCAAAGCCAACAAAUCAAGUUUCACAUUUUUCUGAGCCAUAUUUUAUUUACUAUGCAUUUUCCAAGUUUAACAAAAUCAUGGAUAAAAUAUAUUCACACAGAAAAGUUACUCCAACAUGACAUGCAAUUACAUCAAACUGUAGAUCUGGAAAUAUAGAGCACACCCAAAUUUAUUUCAUUCAAUUUGGAGCUGUAGAACUCAAGAUAUAGAUUUUACAAACUUUAAAUCAAUUUCUGGAAAACACUUUUUCAAGAAAACCGACGAAAAAUGCUACGCACACCCAGAUCUACACCCACCGGGGUACCCCUGUGACUGACAGUGGGUCCCCGACCCCACCAGUCAGCGAGACCGAGAGGGAGCUCACCUCCGACGAGCGGAUCUCACUGGCGGUGAGGUCUCCGGCCAUGGGGUGAGCACCAACGUGCUCCCCGCAGCAAGACGCACCCAGCGGUACCCUUGGAUCGACCAGAGGACGGCCGGAACACCUUCGGCGAGCAUGCAUGGCGGCACGGCGGCGCUGCUCGCCGUGGCCAGGCUGCUCCGGCGCGGUAGAGCGUGCGCAAACGCCUCUCCGAGCUUCCUCACCUUCCUACCGACCUAGCGCAACAGAGAACGAGCGAAAAGAGGCAGGGAAACGCUAGAUCCGUCGCGGCGGAGUACUCCGGCGAGCUCGGGGUGACUCCGGCGAGCGAUUCACGGCGCUCGACGGACUCUCACCUUGGUAGAACGUUCGCACGAGCUUACCCUAGCGACGGCGACUGCCCUGGUGCUCUCGGCGUCGAGCUUGAGGCUCUGGUGUGGCCGGCGACGAGCGGCGGAGCUCUCUCCGGCAAUGGCGCGCGGGGGAGACAGAAUGGAGGGAGUGGCCUGGGAGCCUGCGUCGGCGUCCCGACCAGGGGGGGUUGGAGGCCGGCCGCGGCGCGCCCAACGCCGGCGUACCGCCGCCACGUGGCCGGCGCCGGGUGGAGCAAGGCGGGCACCGCACGCGCGGGAGAGAGAGGAGGGGGAGCGGGCCGCGCUGCCCAGCUGGGCCAGAAGGGAGGCGGGUCGGCCCAGCAGCGCCUGCCCCCUUUCUCUUUUUUUUUGAAAUUCUUUUCUCAAAUUCUUUCUAAAUUCAUUUGGACCAAUUUAAAAUCAUUUUCACCUCUUGCUCCCAAAAACAAAGUUGUUCCAAAACAAAAACUCUACAGCUUUGCCUUAACAAGCAAGACCAAAUUCCAAACAGAAUUUGAAUUACAAGUUAAAACUCAGUUCUAGGUUUUAAAUAAAUUCUUUUUGGAUAUUUUUGUAUAAAUUCCAUUUCUCAAAUUCCAUAGCUCCAAAAAUUGCACAAAAAUGUUCUUAAUUCUUCUUACACAUAAACCAACCUAGUUUGACUAUUUCAUAAUUUUUAAAGCAAGCAUCACAUUUUAACAUGUUUAAAACUCAUGAAAUGAUGCACAUAAAAUCAUACUUGAAGAGAAUGACAUGCUCAUGAUGCUUAUGAUUGAUGAGGAUGCUUAUGCAUUGCUUUGCCAAGGCUAAGUGCAUGCUUAACACCUAGGGUGUUACAGCCCUUCCCCCCUUAGGGAAAUCUCGUCCCGAGAUUUUGGGGUUACUAACCAUUUCUUAUGAAAUUUUGGAUAAACUGUUUUUAAGUAAUCCUCUGUUUCCCAAGUGGCAUCCCUAUCGUCAUGAUGACUCCACACCACUUUGUAUGUUCGAACAACUCUGUUUCGGGUUACUCGCUCCUUGGUAUCCACAAUCCCCACUGGCUGCUCUUUGUACUCUAGGUCUGCUUUUAUCUUGAUUCCUCGAGGUUCAAUUCUUUGCUCCGGUACUUUGAGACAUUUCCGCAGCUGAGACACAUGGAAGACCGGGAAGAUCGAGCUCAUCUCUUCAGGUAACUGAAUCUUGUAGGCCCCUGGGCCAUUCCUUUCUAGCACUGGGUAUGGUCCCACAUAUCGGGGUGCAAGCUUGCUUCGAACUCGGAAACGUUGAAUUUUCUUCAUUGGCGUAACCUUGAGAUACACAUAGUCGCCUACUUUGAACUCAAGCGGCCUUCUCCUCUUGUCAGCAUAACUCUUCUGUCGUGAUUGCGCUGCUUGCAUAUGUUGCUGUAUAAUCUGCACCUUUUUCUCGGCAUCAUUCACAAAGUCGAUACCAUAGUAUCUCCUUUCACCAGGUUCCACCCAGUUUAACGGAGUUCGACAUCUCCGCCCAUACAAAGCUUCGAACGGGGCCAUCUUGAUGCUCUCUUGAUAACUAUUAUUGUAUGAGAACUCAGCCAAAGGUAACCAUGAUUCUCACGAUCCCUUGGACGAUAGCACACAGGCCCUCAGCAUAUCUUCUAACACUUGGUUUAGCCUCUCUGUUUGGCCUGAAGUCUGGGGAUGAUACGCCGUGCUUCUUAUCAAACUGGUCCCCAAACUCUUAUGCAUGCGCUCCCAGAAGUGAGCAGUGAACUGCGGUCCUCUAUCCGAUAUGAUGGUUUUGGGGAUACCAUGCAACUUGACGAUCUCAGCCAUAUAUAUAUCAGCAUACUCGGGAGGUCUGUAUGUGUUCUUGACUGGAAUGAAAUGAGCCGACUUGGUUAAUCGAUCUAUGAUUACCCAAAUCGAGUCAUUCCCCUUCCUGGUUGUCGGUAAGCCGGUGAUAAAGUCCAUACUGACCUCUUCCCAUUUCCACUCCGGAACUGAUAACGGUUGUAACAGACCUGCAGGUUUCAUAUGGAUGGCCUUAACUCUGCAACACGUGUCACAACGGGCCACAUAAGCGGCUAUUUCUUUCUUCAUCUUGGUCCACCAAAAGUGGGGCCUUAGAUCUUGAUACAUUUUGCUGCUGCCAGGAUGAAUAGAAAGCUUAGAGGGAUGGGCUUCAUCCAUGAUGCGAUUCUUCAACUCCCGAUCUUUCGGGACCACUAACCGCUGUUGAAACCACAGUACCCCCUUCUCAUCAACCCGAAACUGAGUCUUUGGGUCAUCUUUGAUCUUCUCUUUGAUGUGGAAAAUACCCUUGUCUGUUUUCUGACCUUCAAUGACUUGACUCUCGAGUGAACAACUGAGUUGUAUAUGACAUAAGACCUCAGGAUGCAUAAGAUUGAACCCAUCUUCAAACAACGGUUGAACCAUUUGAUAGUGCGGUUUGCGACUCAAGGCAUCUGCGACCACAUUAGCUUUGCCUGGAUGAUAGUGAACUUCCAAAUCAUAAUCCUUGAUUAGCUCUAACCACCGUCGUUGCCUCAUAUUCAGCUCGGACUGAGUGAAGAUGUACUUCAAACUCUUGUGAUCGGUGUAAAUGUGACACUUAUUUCCUAGCAGAUAAUGUCUCCAGAUCUUCAAAGCAUGUACCACUGCUGCUAACUCAAGGUCGUGCGUUGGAUAGUUGACUUCAUGCUUUCUCAACAGUCGGGAAGCAUAAGCUAUCACCAUGCCAUCUUGCAUCAACACACACCCCAGGCCACUCUUCAAUGCGUCACAAAACACAUCAAAAGGCUUCUCUAUAUUAGGUUGUGCCAGAACGGGAGCAGUGGUUAGCAACUUUCGCAAGGUGCGGAAGGCUAACUCACACCCUUCCGUCCAGACAAACUUAUGGUCCUUUUGUAGCAAACUUGUCAUUGGCUUAGCAAUCUUGGAGAAGUCAGGUAUAAAACGACGAUAAUACCCGGCCAGACCAAGAAAACUUCUAACUUCCGAGACCGAAGUUGGUGCCUUCCAGUCCAUGACUUCCUGCACUUUUGAUGGAUCCACAGCAAUUCCUUCUUCAGACAGAAUGUGCCCUAGGAAAGGAACUUUCUUUAACCAGAACUCACACUUGCUGAACUUGGCAUAUAGCUGAUGCUCUCGUAACCGUGUCAGCACGAUUCUCAGAUGCUCGGCGUGAUCUUGCUCAUUUUCUGAAUACACCAGGAUAUCAUCGAUAAACACUACAACAAACUUAUCCAAUUCCGGCAUAAAGACUGAAUUCAUCACAUACAUAAAGUAUGCAGGAGCAUUUGUCAACCCAAAGGACAUGGCAAGAUACUCGUACAACCCAUACCUGGUGGAAAAAGCAGUCUUCGGGAUAUCUUGCGGACGAAUCUUGAUUUGGUGAUACCCAGAUCUCAAAUCUAUCUUAGAAAACACUCUUGCCUUGGAUAACUGAUCAAACAGGAUAUCAAUCCUUGGCAAGGGAUACUUAUUUUUGAUUGUCACUGCAUUGAGUGGACGAUAGUCCACGCACAUGCGCAAUGACUGAUCCUUCUUUUUCACAAACAACGCUGGACAACCCCAUUCCGACGAGCUUGGCCGGAUGAACCCUUUUUCUAGUAACUCCUUCAGUUGCUUCUUCAGCUCUGCGAGUUCGUUUGGUGGCAUCCGGUACGGCCUUCUAGAUAUUGGUGCUGUACCUGGUAUCAACUCGAUUGCAAACUCUACCUCCCUAUCUGGGGGAAGUCCUGGUAACUCCUCGGGAAACACAUCAGGGAACUCACAGACUACUGGAAUCUGUGGUAAAGGGACCACGUGCGUAGCACAGGAGAUGCUAGAAAAGUCAAGACGACGGGGCAGAGGUACUUGAAAAGAGUUACUGCCCUGUGGUUCUCUGAGAGAUAACAUCCUCUUUCCAGUAUCUAUGACAGCAUCCCAUUCUCUCAUCCAGUUCAUGCCCAUGAUAACAUCCAAAACUAACCCAGGCAUGACCACUAGAUUUACCCGAAAAACUCGGCCACUUACAUCCAGGGUUGCCCCUCGGACCACUCUAUUGGUCAACACAUCUGCCCCUGCUGAGCUGAUGCGGUAGCCAUAGCCCAGAUCUGUAACUGGUUGAUUAUGCUUUUGUGCAAAUGCUUGGCUCAUGAAUGAAUGCGAUGAUCCAGAAUCAAACAAAACAACUGCAAGAUGUUGGUUGACAGAAAACAUACCAGCUGUUACCGGUUCUCCUUCCGGGAUUUCCUCAAUCGAGGUAUGAUGCACACGAGCUGGAUAGGUUGGCUGCUGCCUUUUGGGGUAGGGACAUUCCUUAGCAAAGUGCCCCAUCUUGUGGCAGUUAUAGCACGAACCCUUGGGCGCAUUGUUGGCGGCAGGUGCUGCGGCUUGAAUUGCCUUUGGCUUGGCAGGAGCUAUCGCCACCUUGUACGGCUUCUGCUGGGUUGGAUGCCCGGUGUUCCUUCUCUGCAGUGGUCGGAACCUAGCACCCGGGGCAGGAGGACGAUACUGUUAUCGCCCUACCACUGGUGCCCUGGACUGGGAUGAUCCUGCUUCAAAAGCCCUUUUACGUGACUUGGAUGCACUGUAGUUGUUGUUAUUGUUCUCUUGGGUCAGACAGUCACUGAUAUAGGCAUUGAAAGUAGCCCUGGCCCCUGUACCCAUGGUCUUCAGCAUCUUUGGAUUCAAGCCUCUCUGGAAACUAGCAAUCUUCUUAGCCUCCGUGUUCACAAACUCAGGGGCAUAGCGAGCGAGAUUGUUGAAAGCGUGUAGAUACUCCUUCACAGACUUCGUCCCUUGGGACAGCCUCAUGAACUCCCCAACCUUCAUUUCAACCACACCAGGAGGAAUGUAAUUUCCCCGGAAAGCGGUGGUGAAGCGGUUCCAGGUGAUUGGUGUCCCCUCUGGGUAGGUGGUACGGUGAUGGGACCACCAAAUCCCAGCAGGUCCUUGCAACUGAUGUGCCGCAUACUCAGCCUUGAGUUCUUCUGUCAUUCGGAGAAGACGAAACUUCUGCUCCAUGGUGUUGAUCCACUCAUCUGCUUCGAGCGGUUCCAAGGCCUCCUUAAAGAUUGGUGGCUUGGUAUCCUUGAAGUCCUUGAAUGAACUGUACUGGUUGACCUCCCGGCCACCCUGAUUAUCUCCACGACGGGUGUUGUCAGCUAUGUUGCGCAAAGCUUCUUCCAUGUUGCGCUGCAUCUGUUCCACGUUGCGUUGGCUCCCCAGAAACUGCGCGAAAAACACAUCCGCAGUGUACGGGGGAGGUGGUGGUGGUGGUGUUGGUGCUCGGUCCUCAUUCCGUUGAGCCCCACCUCCGGAUGUACCUGCUCCAAGACCCGGAUUGCCGUUACCCCCGCCACGUGUUUGCACCAUCUGCAUACGCCAAUGAUAAGCAAUCGUUAGGAGUUGCUAUCAACCGGUAGAAAAUGUGUAAAAUCGUGCCAUACUGAAUUUACUGAGGGAAUAAAUUCACACAAUAAACAAAGGCACAACAACUCAUCAUCCACGCACAACAUCACUAACAGAUUACUUAACAUUCACGCAACAAGGUUCGCGUACAUCCAAUUUGCCAGCAUACAUACACUGGACUUUCAACAUAACUCGUAAGGUCUUACAUAGCUCAGAACCAAAGUACACGACAUGCCAUGCAACAUACAACACAAAAGGAGAAGGACUAGCUCUAGAGCCCUAGCAUCUAGUCGCUAUGAUCACUGUCCAUGCCAGAGCCAUCCUCAUCCUCGUCACCACUAGCAGCUGCUCCUAUCUCGGGAUCCGCGUCCAUCUCGUCCUCAGAGUCUAGCUCCGCUGCUCUAGGCAGGUGGUGAGGGUGGAGCUGGUUAUGCAGCUGGUGGAUCUCCUCAUGCAAGUUCUCAUUGUACUCCUCGGCAUUAGCUAGCUGCUGCUCUAGCUCCAGCUGUCGGGCCCUCAAAGUGUCCUCCUCGUGCCAGGCUUCAUUCCUCUGUCCAAGCACAUGGACUAGCAUGCGCUCGCAGUUCCUGUGAGCAGUGGUCACCCUGUCCUUCUGCUCCCGCACUGCAAGCAGGUCCUAACUCAGCUCACUGUUCUUCUGGACUGCCUGGUCUCUCUCUCUGGUCACACGAGCCAACUCUGCCUGUAGCCUCUCAACCUCAGAGUCAAACUCACGCUGCAACUGACGCUUCUCAUCCUGGACGGUGAGAAGAGACCCGGACAAGCGACCCAAACAACGCUCCAGGCCUCCAUAGGUCUUCAUCAACGCGUACAUGGCACUCAUAGCUGCACUGUCACUGUGCUGGUCCUCAUCCGCACUCCUCUCUAGAGCAUUCACCUCGGACUGAUCCCACACCGAAGUGUAAGGGUCACCCCGGGGAAACACCCCAGCGAUGGCGUGGGCCAGCUCCUGUGGAAACCUCUCCAUGAGGUCCCUCAAAACUGCGAAAGCUGCCCUGGUGGCACCGUGGAAAGGCGUGACACCUCGGGACUCGUACACCCAACCGCCCCAAGCAGGGUCUCCUCCACUGGUAGGGACAACUGCCUCGAUCCCCACCAGGGUCUCGUCACCAAGCGGCUCCUUAUCCCAAUAGUAGCGAGGCUCCCUUCCUUCGGGAUACCCCAUCGAACUGAGCACCCUCCAAAGCAAGGUGGGCAUCCCAAACUCCUCUAGGAACUUGCUCUUAUGUCGCGACCUCCUAGCUGCCAACGGACGGUGAGGGGCCCGCCCACCAGUGGACUUGCGAGCGGUGUGCCUAGUGCGUGCCAUCUGCUGCAAAUGGAAUACCGUGGGUAAGAGCGAGGAUUACCUUUAUUUAUUUCAUUUAAAAUUGGGACAGAUUAAAUUAAGGGGGAAAGUAAGCAAUGAUAUGAAAUACACAUGAUGCAUGUACGAACUUACGAUCUCACAAACUUAGAAAACAAAGGUUAACACUAAUCGGUAUACGCGGUGGCAUACAACGUUCGCUCAUAACGUAACUAGCGUUCUAAGCGAGAACGUGGUUAGGGUACCUGCAGAAAACUCAUUUCAGCCCACCCACAGUAUGAUCGUGCAGAACAAAAUUUAAAACUAUACACUUCACAUACACAGACACCCGUCCAUGCAUGUGACGUGUCACUACCCACAUCAUCGCCCUAAUGACGGCAUCGCCUCUCAGGACGGAAUUCCCAGCAUGCGGUACUGUUCCCAAGACACACCAACAUGUGUGCAUGACACAGCACCUGACAACACUUCCCUAGACCGGCAGUGUAUCCGAUCAUGCUCUCACAACUCCCACUUACCAUGGCGUAGAGGAAGAAUUGAUCCAUACAUUACCACUCAAAAUGAAUGGCACUCAUACUAUUGCACGCCGUAUGAGCAACGAAAUAAAAAUAUGAUGCAUUAACCCCCAAGUCAGUACUUAGCUAGCCACCUUAGAGUCCUUAACUGGGCAUAAAGGAUAUGACCAUGGCACACUAGAUAAUUUUCCCAAAACUUAGUUUAACACCUUGAUCAUUAUUAAUUAAUUAAUAAAAUCUUUUACUAAACCGGUUUAGACUUUUGUUUAAAACGUACUUAUGAACAGUAACUCGCUAAACCUUGCUCCGAUGCCAGCUGUAACAGAACCGACCAAAUUAUAAGAGAUUAAGCCUAAUAGUGACCAUUUGCAUAGUCGAACCAUCACGCUUAAGCCCAUAUAAUCCCGGUAGUCUGUGAAAUCUCGAAGGAUUUCAAACCACACAUCGCAUACAACCAAGAUCGUAAUAAGUUUAGCGGCCGCCAUCCAUAAGUACAUUCAGAUUUCAACAUUCAUGAAACACAUCGGAGUACUUAAGUUAUUACAAACCAAGUUCUUCAAGUAGCGGAAGCUUCAUAGUUCGAAAUUACAACACACACGAUAAGUCUGAUACCGUGCCAUAGUUUGGUCAUUCCCACAAAAGCAAAGGAAGAGACAGAGUGACCAUCGCCCUUGGUCUAGUCAUCACCCAUAGCUGGGUACAGAGAGAGGAUGCAAUAACCAUAGUACAUGUGACCAUCUGCAAAACAACAUGGGAAUAGAACCCUGAGUACGAGAAGGUACUCAGCUAGACUUACCCGCCAUAAACUUAAAAUAAAGACUCAUCAAGGAUCAUGAAGGCUAUUUAGUGGGGUAGCUGACAACCAUUUUGCAAAGACCGCAAGGUUUUAUUACCCUAACCUACAUAAAUCUUUUCUUCUUUUAAUCUGCUCAAGUUGAAAGUAUCAUUACCUAUUAUCUAGGUUUGCUCCUGUGCUAUUACAAGCAAGUAUGAGACUAUGAUAGUACCUCAUCAUAGCAUUUCUUAAACCAUUCAUCAUUAUAACCCGAGUGUUCCAUAGUCCUUACUACGAGGACGAAGCUCAUGUCAAGUGCUCACUAUCCAGGAGCGAUGGCGAUUCGAAUCGAUUUCUAACCAGCUGGUGAGGUAUUCCCCACACAAACCACACUCACUGAUCAAGUGAGCUACAGAUCACUGUAUUACACUAUCCAUGACCAAUUCGCGGGUUCGGCAGGCACCGCCAGUACCCGAGGACCGUUCCGGCGACCGAGGUAUCCAAGGUAUACCAAGGUUGCGCGCCGCGCCCUCGUCGUUCUCCUCAACCACCACCAAUACAGCGCAUGGCGGCUCGAUUCCCGGCCCGGAUAGUGUUCAGGCUUCGCGGUCCGAACGACUUAUCCUUCCAGCUAAGUGUGGGGCAUGCGUUCAACAUGACAAGAGGGCCGUCAACGAUCGGUCCUUAAUCGACACAGGCAGGGGCACCAUGGUCAACCCACCAUAAGACCCUGCCCGGUCUCCAAAUUCAUUCCACACUUGGUUAUGCUUUUCCCCGAGCAACCAAUGCUUAAACAAGCAGGUAUCCACCUAUGUCUCACAGGUGACAGGGAAUCACCCGACUUCUACUGAACUAAGCAAGCUAAGCAUAGACUCCGUGCCUAUCUACAUAGGACAAGGUAGUUGAAUGAGUAGGAAUAACAAGGAGUACUCAUGCAGCAACGGUAUCAGGCAACUCCUAUCAAUUAAUAUGCACUAUAGUAGAACAAGUAUAGCACUUUAUAUAAGUUAGCGAGAAUAGGGAGACUUAGAAUGCUCCAGGGCUUGCCUUUCUCAAACGUGCUGGGUCGGUGAUCCGAACACUCUUGCAAUUCCUCUCCGGGUUCCUAUGCUUCCGGAGGUUCCUGCUCCUGUAUCUCCUCGGGUUCCUCGGGUCCCACUUCGUUCUCCUGCGAGCCUGUAUGAUGCAUAUAUGCUCAUGAGUGGAGUGUGAGAUGCCCAAGUGGAUGCUUGUAAGAGAGAGUGUCAAAGGAGUCAUGUUAUGAUGCAUAGGUGAUGCACUUGGUCAUGCUUAUUACAAGGUAGUCAACAUCAUCCGGGAACAAUAACUAAAUUAAGCAUCUGUUGCAUUCUCUUCUACAGAUAUUUUUCAAAUGCAACCAGCAACCCCCAUGAUGCUUCAAAGAUACACCAAACCCAACUUAUUCCAUUCAACCUAUAUAUAUACACCCUUCAUAGUUUUCUUUAUUCAUUUCUAAGCCCAUUAAAAAUCAAAUGCAAUUCUGUUCAUCAAUAAAUUCCACAAAAAUUACAGGAGACUACCAGCUAAGCAUAAAGUCUACUGUAAAUUAUUCAUGAUUUUUGGAUACUUAUUUUGAGCCACAAAAAAAAAUUACAAGAUUAAUUAAUAAGGCAAGUAAAAUCACUCUACCGGGAUACAAGUGUUAAACAACAGAUUUCAUAUUUUUACAAUUUGCAUAAUAUCAUAAGAAACACCCACAAAAUUUUCCAGAUUUAUUGCAUGACCCAAUUAAUUAUUAAAAAUGAUAAAUCACUGCCAUGCAAGCAUUUAAAUUACCAUAAAUUCAUUUAUACACCAAAUAAUAUGUACCCACUUUUUCCCAGUGAGCAAACACACAUGCAAAGCCAACAAAUCAAGUUUCACAUUUUUCUGAGCCAUAUUUUAUUUACUAUGCAUUUUCCAAUUUUAACAAAAUCAUGGAUAAAAUAUAUUCAUACAGAAAAGUUACUCCAACAUGACAUGCAAUUACAUCAAACUGUAGAUCUGGAAAUAUAGAGCACACCCAAAUUUAUUUCAUUCAAUUUGGAGCUGUAGAACUCAAGAUAUAGAUUUUACAAACUUUAAAUCAAUUUCUGGAAAACACUUUUUCAAGAAAACCGACGAAAAAUGCUACGCACACCCAGAUCUACACCCACCGGGGUACCCCUGCGACUGACAGUGGGUCCCCGACCCCACCAGUCAGCGAGACCGAGAGAGAGCUCACCUCCGACGAGCGGAUCUCACCGGCGGUGAGGUCUCCGGCCAUGGGGUGAGCACCAACGUGCUCCCCGCAGCAAGACGCACCCAGCGGUACCCUUGGAUCGACCAGAGGACGGCCGGAACACCUCCGGCGAGCAUGCAUGGUGGCACGACGGCGCUGCUCGCCGUGGCCAGGCUGCUCCGGCGCGGUAGAGCGUGCGCAAACGCCUCUCCGAGCUUCCUCACCUUCCUACCGACCUAGCGCAACAGAGAACGAGCGAAAAGAGGCAGGGAAACGCUAGAUCCGUCGCGGCGGAGUACUCCGGCGAGCUCGGGGUGACUCCGGCGAGCGAUUCACGGCGCUCGACGGACUCUCACAUCGGUAGAACGUUCGCACGAGCUUACCCUAGCGACGGCGAGUGCCCUGGUGCUCUCGGCGUCGAGCUUGAGGCUCUGGUGUGGCCGACGACGAGCGGCGGAGCUCUCUCCGGCAAUGGCGCGCGGAGGAGCGGCUGCUGCUGCGCGGUGCGAGCGGAGGAGGAAGGAGAAGGAGGGCGCAGGGGAGACAGAAUGGAGGGAGUGGCCUGGGAGCCUGCGCCGGCGUCCCGACCAGGGGGGGUUGGAGGCCGGCCGCGGCGCGCCCGCCGGCGUACGGCCGCCACGUGGCCGGCGCCGGGUGGAGCAAGGCGGGCGCCACGCGCGCGGGAGAGAGAGGAUGGGGAGCGGGCCGCGCUGCCCAGCUGGGCCAGAAGGGAGGCGGGUCGGCCCAGCAGCGCCUGCCCCCUUUCUCUUUUUUUUUUUUGAAAUUCUUUUCUCAAAUUCUUUCUAAAUUCAUUUGGACCAAUUUAAAAUCAUUUUCACCUCUUGCUCCCAAAAACAAAGUUGUUCCAAAACAAAAACUCUACAGCUUUGCCUUAACAAGCAAGACCAAAUUCCAAACAGAAUUUGAAUUACAAGUUAAAACUCAGUUCUAGGUUUUAAAGAAAUUCUUUUUGGAUAUUUUUGUAUAAAUUCCAUUUCUCAAAUUCCAUAGCUCCAAAAAUUGCACAAAAAUGUUCUUAAUUCUUCUUACACAUAACCCAACCUAGUUUGACUAUUUCACAAUUUUUAAAGCAAGCAUCACAUUUUAACGUGUUUAAAACUCAUGAAAUGAUGCACAUAAAAUCAUACUUGAAGAGAAUGACAUGCUCAUGAUGCUUAUGAUUGAUGAGGAUGCUUAUGCAUUGCUUUGCCAAGGCUAAGUGCAUGCUUAACACCUAGGGUGUUACAGUCUAGAUCUUGAUUUCAUUUGGAUCCUUUUCUUUAUUUAUUUGAUAAUUAAAUUUGAUACUUAAGGACCGUCAACAAACUCCCCCAAGCUUACCUUUGCUCGUCCCUGAGCAAGGAUAGACUUAGCUAUGGAUCAUAAGUUGCUGCAAUAUAUUUUUUAAAAAAAAUUGGCGGUACACAUGCUUUUAAAUAAGAUCUCAUCUCUGAGUUAGAGUAAACUGUCAAGACUUAAAACUUACUUACUUUACCUCCACCAUGGGACUUGUAACUGUCACUUCUGUCUUGAGUGGUUAAAAGAUAGAACAGUCUAGCCAAGUGCCAUGUCUCUUAUUCUUGAUCAGCUAUAGCUCUGGGAUUUUUGCAGAUUUUCAAAUAAAACUCAGAUAUUCCUUGUAUGAUUCUGUCAGGUCUCUCUUUUGUGGUAUUUCUGGAUCCUUACCAAGGCAUUGAUGGUAUAUGCCUUCUCUCAAGAUAUGUGGUAUUUGUGGUAUGAGGCAUAGUGAUAUUGCCUUCUCUCUCACCCUACUCUAAUAAGGCAUUAAUAUCUGGAGCUCAUAGGUGGGAGAUAAAGUAUACAUACUUACAAGACAUUUAUUGCAUAGUCAAACCAUGGAUCCAAAGUAACAAGUCAAUAAGUUUAAUCAAGAUGUGCAUGUGUGGCGAAUGAAUGGUAUAUGGUGAUGAUGGUGAUAACAAUGGUGAAAACAAUGGUGGUGGAAGUCUAAUUCUACUUUGCUCUUUUGAGGGGGAUACAUACCUUCCUUGCUUUUGAAACUUUAUGAGAAGAAUGAGAUGCUCUUCUUUUUCUUUUCUCUCAGGUGGGUAUCUUGCACCCCUAAUUCUACUGUCGGACACUUGUCCAUUUUUACCUCUCAUCUCACUUUUUUCUUUUCUUUCGAGGUUCCAAGCACUUGCUCCUUUUUAUUUCCUCGUAUUAUUUUCUCUUCUUUUUUUUAGAGCACUCAUCUCUUGAGAUAAUAUAGCAAAUGGUAGUAACAAGAUAACUUGAGCAUUUAUUUCAAAAGGGAAAACAAAAAAUAUUUUUGGUUAUUCUCUCCUGGAUUAGGAGUAGAAUAUUUUUGGGUGAUUCUGGAGAUGGAAUGGGUGGAUAUAUGUGGAUGGUACUUCCGGAAUAGAAGUAGCAUAUAUGAGUGAACGUGCAAGUGAAAUCUUGAUUUAACCACAUGACAAGCUCCUAAGGGUCUACACAGCUUGACCACACUCAAUGCUCAUAAGCAGUAAAUAAUAAAUGUGUGGCUCAAAGUCUAGCAAGCAUGUAUAUAUGGCUGUGGUAGGAAUUUAAGCUCUCAUCAUACAGGAACUCAUCAUGCAACAUUUUAAAGAUUUUCAAAGAUAAAAUUCUCCAGAAUUCUAGCAUCUCUAGGAACAGAUAAACAGCAGCUCAACCUUCCCAUAUCGUAUCCGUUAACAACUUAGACUUCAGAUCAAGUUUUCAUCCCACAAGUUUAGGUCUAGAGCAAGCUUUAAAUUAUAACUGUUAUGUCUAAACUUAAGAGAGAACUUAAAAUUUGCAAAUUAGGCAGAGCAACUUUUCAUCAUAUCCAUGCUUAAGUUUUAUUUAGAUACAGAUUAGCAUAGCCACUUUAUUUAUUUAUUAAACACACUAAGCAAAAGACAUAUAUAUAUAUAAGCAUAAAAUCUUUAUUUGGUUUUCCCAUAGUUUAUGUGUAUUUUAAUAUUCUAAAAUAAUAUAAGUAUAAAGAUAGAUAGAAAUACUUAUCGAGAUAAAUGGGGGUGCUCUCCCCCAAGCUGAAUUUUGACGUAAUUUCUCUUGAUGUAGCUAGCAGGUGGCAGAGGUGUAGUUGAAAGUCAGCAGCAUUCUGACAGCGAUUAGAAUGUCCUCCGUCUGCUAGUCUUCUUGAAUUAUGUGGAGCUCAAAUAGACAACAAAGCUUGUGGAACUGAUUAAGUGUUAGCAUAAAUAUAUAGCCUUCAUCAUCUUGAGACUCCUUAAUAAUUAUUACUCCCUGUUUUUAUAUUUUUAUUUUAUAAAGCAGAAAAAUAUUUAUUUUAUUUUUAUGCCACCACAGUGAAUGUACGUAUGAGUUUUAUGUCACUCGUAUACUCACAUGGGGCUUACUGUUUUUCAUAUUUUUAUUUUCUUUUUUAGGAUAGCAUGAACAUGUUUAACUAAAUAAUCUAUUUGAAGUAAGUGAAAGAAAGGAUAACUACCAAGUUUACCUCUUGGCAAGGCGUUCGGUGUUUUUAAGUCCUCCGAACGGGACUCUCCAAUUUCUUAAUCGUCCUGAGGUUCGUUGGGUGGCGUAGUCGGUACUUCCGGCAGCGCCUCCUCUUCUUGUAUAGUUAUCUUCAUUUUCCAUACCUGACUCGGUGCUUCAAUCUCCUCUGGAUAAUUCUGUUUAAACUCUACGUCUUCUGACCUUACAGCUUCUCCUUCAUAGUCUGCCCAUCCGUCCUUGAUGAUCUGCCUCCUCUGGUUGCGGUUGCGUCUCUUUCUGACCUGCUUAGAUUCUUCAACAAUAUAGUUAGGGUCAGUAAAAUAACGGCGUACCUUCUCUGAGGGGAAGUGCAUAUGGACUUCUCCAGUUCCAAUGUAGAUAAUUGCUUUAACGGUGCUGAGGAACGGCCUUCCAAGGAUGAUGGGUGGAUCAUACUCGUCUUCUCCCAUAUCAACAACUUGAAAGUCUGUGUAGAAAAAGUGAUCGUCUAUUUUGACUGGGACAUCAGAUAAUAUUCCUUGAACUUCUCGAAAUGUCUGAUCUGCCAUCUGGAGCUGAAUGUAUGUUGGUCUUAGUGGCAUGGUCCCGAACAAGAGCCGAUAGGUGACUGCGGCCAUUAUGUUGACGCCUGAUCCGGUGUCGCAAAUCGUCUUGUAGAAGUUGUAUCCAUUUAUGGAGCAGUAAAUGCUUGGUAUUCCUGGGUCGUCCUUCUUAGUCAAAAACGGUGACUUCAGUCGGUGAUCUUGGCCUCCAUGGACUUCAGUGACCAUCUUAGCUGACUCGGUCCACACUUGCUUGUUCCUGUUCCUCCUGUUGGUCCUCUUCCUUGAUUCACGUCUGGAUUGAUUUGGAAUUUGUGUAGUCUUGUUCUUGAAGAAAAAUGUUUCCUUCUUCCCUUUGACGUAGAAACUGAUCUUGGCAGCACUGGCGUAGAUGAUAGCUCCCGUGGUGUUCAAGAAUGGCCUCCCUAAGAUGAUAGGUGCUCUCUCAUCAUUUCCGGUCUCUACCACUACGAAGUCUGCUGGUGCAUACAAGGUACCAACUCAGACACAAAGGUUCCUCACUAUUCCUUUUGGAAAAGUUAUCGUCUGAUCUGCAAACUGCAAACACAUGGUUGUCUCUAAUAAAGGAUAUGUAAAGAAUUUUUCAUAGAGUACCCUGGGUAUAAUGUUGACGCUAGAGCCAAAGUCACAGAGUGCUUCUGGGAAGUCCACCAUGCCGAUGGAGAUCGGGAUGACGGGGCGUCCU
Molecule: long non-coding RNA, 68555 nt
Filed under: Sorghum bicolor (sorghum)
Lineage: Eukaryota; Viridiplantae; Streptophyta; Magnoliopsida; Poales; Poaceae
Description: long non-coding RNA (SBIC_LNC015800)
Source: RNAcentral